UUGGAGAGAGAGAGGCGAAAGAAGAAAAGAGUCGGUAUCCCUCGAUAAGGUGAUUUUCUCUCCUUUCCUCUUUUCUACCUUAUCUCUUAUAUCAGUCUGUCUCUUCCCUUCUCUUUUCUCUCUCUUUAUCUCAACUUUUUCAUAAACGGCGGAAUCCAUCCUCCUCUUUGUUUUUCUCAUUCUUUUCUUAUUUCUUCUCCCUUCUCUUGUGGUCUCGCAUGACCACAACGCUUCACUUCCCUCUUCUUUGUGGUAUCUCAUGACCACAACUUUUUCCUCUCUUCCCUUGUGGUCUAGUAAGACCACAAUUCCUCCUUUUUCUCAUUCUUCUAUCUAUUUUUCUCAUUUUUUUAUCCCUGCAAGUCUACCAAGUCCAUGUGCACCCUCAGAUCUACCUCCUACUCAGAUAGGCUCUCACGUCUAACUUCCCGAUUUGUUCUUUGUACCUUCCUUUUACUCUUUUUGGUGCCCCUUGGCGUCUCUUCUUUUUCUUUCACAUUCCAUAGUCCUCUGCGACCACCAUUCCCCAAAUCUUCAUAACCUAUAGCCAUUUGUGCAAAUUUCAACCUAGCACCGGCUGUGCGCUCAUUCAAUCCCUUACUAUCGCUUGCUGUUCGCUCAUCCAACCUCUUCUUAUCGCUGGCUGUGCGCUUAUCCAACCUCUUCCUAUGGCCGGCUGUGCGCUCUUCCUCCACCUUGCUGAACAACGCCGCACGCUCUCACCUUUCAUCGCCUUGCACCAUAACCGAGCUCUUUACCUCUGCUCCUACCUCAACCAUCUCAACCUCUCUCUAAUCAGUCACCAACUCUCUAAAACUUUCGCACUUGUACCUAUCUGCGGUUCACGCAGCUCUCCCCCUGUGCUCCCCAUCUUUCGCCCUCAUCUUAACCUCACUGCUGCCUCUAUCCUUCCCAUCCCCACUACUCAUCGCUGCCACUAGUAGCCAAACGCACUCUUCUCUCCUUCACCUCCAUUACCUACAACCAGGCUUCCCCUCUUCCUGGCCAUUCUCGCACCAGGCAGCAGACUGCUAUACCCUCGCCAUCUCCUCCAUCGACACCUCCUUCCCAGCUCCUGUGCCCCACCUCCUUCUCAGCCCCUGUGCACCAUCCCCGCUCUCGGCCAUCCUCCAUCUUCUUCUUUACUUCAAUCAGGCAACGACCCACUCAGUUGCGUCUCAGCUCUCUUCUCCGUCAUCACCUCUUUCCCAUUCAAAUUGCAGCGACGACCUUUCUCCCGGCCAGCAACCUCCCCUCUCUUUCGACCUUGGCUGCACCUAUCUCUUUUCUUUCUCUCCCAGUGACACCAAACUGCCGCCACUGCUCUCUCCUCAAUUAAACCCCUCUCCACUAACUGUUACACUUCACUCCACCAAAAAUCAGGCAGCAGCCUCGCUGCCGCGCCAUAUAACCAAAUGCUCAACCUUCAGCAUCUCUCCCCUGCUGCCAUCUCUCUGAACCUUCACUCGGCUGCUCUCUCCCUCCUCUUCUCUGCAGCCUAGCUCGUCACCUGCCUGCAACCUUUAUCUCCAACUCACGCAGCCGCAAUCAAGCCCCGACCUGGUUGCUGUGACCACCACUUACCUGCAACUUCGGCCCAUUGUUCCUCGCCUCCUGCUCUUCUUUUCUUCACCACCAUCACCGCACACCACAGCUGCAACCAGCCACCAUUCUCAAACCUCCUCAUUGCUCGCUGCCCUCUUUCUCCGUCUUUUCCACUUUCUGCAACUCCCCCAUUCCCUCGCUGCAUUUUCUCUCUCUAAAACUAAAAGGAAAAAAACCCACAAAGCAAAACGCCUGUUUCCUUUUCUUAUUUCGUUUCUUUUUCGUUGAUUUCACUUCGUUCCUUUUUUUUUUUUUAGUUUCGUGAUACUUUCGUUCUGUCCUUUUUCUUCUCACUCAAAACCCAAAACCCGGUAACCCAACAAUUUUAUUGUAAUUUAUUUCAUGCCAUUUUCGUUUAUGCCAUUUAUUUUUAUCUUAUAUUCAUUUACCUUAUUCUAUUUAUUCCACUAAUCUUAUUUUAAUUUAUCUUUAUCUUUUUAUUUUAUUUAUCUAUUUAUUUUAUUUUUCUCACCUCAAUCACUUCAUUUCAUUUUCUUUUAUUUUAUUUUACUUUAUUUAUUUUAUUCCACUUAUUUUAUCCAACGAUCCCUUACUCUAUUUUUAUUCAUUUGUUUUAUUUUAAUCAUUUCAUUUUAAUUUAUUUUCUCCCAUCCUUUUUAUUUUACUAAUUUAUUUCACUUCACUUUAUUCUAUUUUAAUCCUAAUUCCAUUGUCUAAUUUUAUUUUAUUUUAAUUCAUCUCUCUCAUUAUUUCAUCCAGUAACAAGCUGGGGACCUUGCCCCACUUGUCGGUACUUUUAAUAUGCGUGUGUAUGUGUUUGCAGGAAAAGAUAAACAGGUCAAGAGAGGCGAUUCCAAACCACCCAUAGGCCAGGGGGGCUUUUCAACGUGAUCUAUGAGGGCGCCCACGUGAGCAAACCCGAGCGUGUCACAGACUCAUAUGAGGUAAGUCUCGCUUCACGACCUUAAAUUCCUCUCUAAUUAGUUGGUAAUAUAUGCCCUUGUUCUUGAAUAAGGUUCUCGAGAGAUCGAUCUCAAAUACCGUGUUCCCUUGCAACCCGAGAUACGUGUCGCCCGAUUAUCCUGAUUCAGACGAUGAGAUCGAGGCACCUAACCACACUCCCCAUACUACUUCACCACCCCGAACCUCUAUGCUUAGAGGCUCGACCCAUCGAGGGGGAGAUCAUGCGGCCUCCACCUCUCGCACACACCCGAAGGCUCAGGGUCCGACCACUCGACCCACACCUCGAGGCAACUUUCAUGUGGCCAUGAGUUCACGUCGAAGGCUAGGCCUUCCCGGUUCGAACCUUGCACGCGACAUGCAUCUGCAUCCCACAACUCGGGGGAACGCCAAUUCUGUGCCCACUCGAGCACAUGAAGGUCGACCACUGCGUCCUCCCUCUCAACACACAUGGCUUCACCCUGUGAGAGAUGGGCUCCUUUCCGAUCCCUCACAGACACAAGCUCAUAGGUCUCGGCCUCCUAAGGUUGAACCAGCUGAUCGAGCCCAGGCUGACCCCCAAGUUGCUCGGAUGGCUACCUCCAAAGGUGCACAUGCACCAAUUUCACAGGUUCCUCCUCGAUCCCGACCAAGCAGAGUUGCAAGCCAGUUCCUUCUUCUGUCUCUCUUCCUUCGCCAGGCAAACACCUCGAGACCUGGUACUCAAAGGUUUUCCCUAAGAGUACCAUCUUGAGUCAGCCAUCCCAAGUCAGUCAUGCACUCGGACCUCACAAGGGAAUUCGAGGCAAAGGCCUGAUGGCAAAUAGAAGCCUAUAAACUCCAAGGUAGUAGCCCAGAUUGACCUCUAUCCUGGGACCUCAUUAUCUGCUCCAGCUGAUAGACACAGUCGUCGCAUGCUCAAGAAAGACAAGACAGUCCAAGUCUCUGGCUCGAUUCUGGACUGAAAUCUAUUGUAGUCUUAAGAUCAAGAAGACGAGAGGCAUGCAGCUCUUGACGAGAGAGACUCCUAAGGCAGUCAAAGUUACCACUCUUGAUGACCUCCUGCCUCACAACUCAUUCUUCCCUCUUCGGAUUCUAGAACCUAAGCAAGAAGUCCAAGAUUGCUUGGUGGUUACCGUCACAGGAAAAGAUCGAGCUGCCAAGAAGUCACGGUCCCAAGACCAUCAAGAACCGGUCCUCACACGGUCGGCGUACAAGGCUCGAGUCCAAUCGGGGCAUGCUGAGCCCCUACAGACCGACUUGCCACGUACGACUCGCAAGCCCUGGUAGUCCACGACUCCACCUGGCUCUGAUCUUCCAAACAAAACGGUCAGCGUCAUGGUGAUCAACGAGCCGGAUGAUGCCCAAGAAGAGAGGAUGAACAGAAUCGAGGUGAUGAUGCAAUCCAUUCUGGAAAAGAUGGAUCGCCUAGAGGCCUCCAGGUCCCCUGCUUCCCUUCCUCGCCAUGAGGCCAAUUCCCAGCCUAGAGAGGACACAGCUCCCGGGCAAACUCCCCCACUGGCCUCCCAGGACAGCUCUGCUCCCGAUAUGGUUUCACAAACUGACAUAGAUGCCAUGGUGACCCACAGUCUCAAGAAUAAGGUCUCAGGCAUGCAAGGGGCACCGCUUUACCAAAAUCCAUACCCCUCGUAUAUUGACCAGGUGUCGUUUCCCCCAAACUAUCAAAAAGGGAAGCUCCUCUCGUUCAAUGGUACGACGUCCCUGCACCAGAAUACCGCUCACUUCCAAACUGCUUGUCGAGAGACGGCAACUGGCGGACGACUCCUCCUUCAUCAGUUCGUCAAAACUCUCGAAAGGUCAGCCUUCUAGUGGUAUGCUCGGCUACGUCCAAGCUCGGUGCACACAUGGCAAGAAAUAGAGCAGUUGUUUUAUCAACAAUUCUAUGAAGUCCAGAGAAAUGUGAAAAUCAUUGAGCUCCUCACUCUGACUCAAGCUGGUGAGCCAGUCAAUAAAUUCAUCACCCGAUGGAGAGAGUUGGCAACCUAUCAUGCCACUCUCAUGACUGAAAGAGAAGCAAUUCAGACCUGCAUAUGAAAUAUGCUGCCCGAGAUUGCCCUGCUUGUUGAAGCCUCCAAUCCACCCUCCAUAUCAAAGCUCAUUGGUUAGCUAUCUUGAUCUCGCACUCCGGAUUCAGGUGAUUGGGUGGUAUGUGUCUCGAGUCUCUGGUGGACCUUUUACUUGAGAUCGCUGUCUCAGAACCUUGCUCGAGGGCAGGGAAGGUAUACCAACCAAUGAGAGAGGAAUUUUAAGUGGAUUCGGGACUUAUUUAGGCUGGCUCGCGUGGGCGCCCUCUUAGAUCAUGAAGAAGGACCUCAGCUGCUUGAGUUGGUUCAGAAUUGCUUCCAUUGACCUGUAAUCCUCCUGUUUUUCUGCACAACACUUCAACGGUUAUUUUGUAAGACAAGUGGGUCGAAAAGAACCCACCCUUGACUUGGGGUAAUGCAUAAUCAUGGGAGAAGGCAAUGAAGUGCAAGGUUAGACGAAAGGUAAAUAGGAGAAGAGAACUUGACGGAAGGACGAGACUAGCACGACGGCCAGAAGUUGUCGACUCGGAGUGGUAACGUGACGGGCAUGGUUCAAGGACCAGCACGGCGGUAAUACUACUCGGAACCGAAGUCAGCUCUAAGCUAGGCCUACCCCAAUCAAGUGAGAAGCGCAAGAGGUGGAGAGGAAAGAACGAGACGACGAAGAGAAGGGGAAAUCCGAACGUCAAUAGACAUUGUUUUGGGCAAUGCAAGGAGGCAGUGCAUCCCUUGUGGACGGCGCUGGCUCCUGACAAGGCACACGAUGAUGGUUUCUCUUAGGUCGCAUGGAGAUAGCCGUGAGACGCUGGGGGAACAACGAUAGCCACAGGACGCGUGGAGGAAUCUCACAAAUGGUGACGGGUAUUGUCAGGGCCUCUAGCGAACGAUGAUAGGUAUCGCCGUCUACGCUAGAUGCAUAGCAAAGGAAGACUCAUGCAAGCAGAAACACAAUUCGCCAUCUAAGUUCUUCAUCAAGAGAUCAAAGCUACAUCUGUAGGCAACGAUGGGCAGCACCAUCUCCAGACUUCACUGAGAGAAAGAGACAGACGAGAAGGAGGGGAGGGAGACUCGCGCAUGGUGCUGUCAUUGCCAUACGCAACCUAUGAGACCAAGGGAGAGGCAUGCACGGUACUGCCACUACCUUACAGGCCUCCACGAGGGACUCAGACAAAGAAGAGGGAUCAUAGAGUGGAGAAGGGAGAGAGAAGAAGAAAAGAAAAAGAAGAGAGACAAGAUUUACCUCAAUCCUAAGGGUACCGAUUGAAAGUUUCUCUCUCCUCACCCUCUCUCUCAAGCGUAACACCACAAUGGUAAGAAAGAAAAACUUGUAUUAAGUGAAAAUUCUCUCGUGUGUGUGUGUAUGUGUAUGCCUUCUCUUUUCUACAUACAAUGAUGGUACAUAUAUAUAGCAGUGUGCCCCAAGCAUGGGUGGAUGAUCAAAAGUAACCCUAAUUGCUGAAAAUUAAGAUUAAAUUGAUUUAAAAAAAAUUAGAAAAUAGGAUACAAAAUGAUAGAUUUGCCCCUUCCUAACAAGUUGUGGAAUUUUAUAACAGUCCCUGUGUUGCCCUAGGACUUGCAUGUUCUUGCAUGGCCAAUCUGAGGUCGUUCUAAUGCCCAGUUGAUCGUAAGAUGAUUUUUUUCUUAUAAGGCUCGGCUUGGUGAUCAAUUUGAUACCAACUUCGAGCAAUAGUGUUUUUAGUGCACGAUCAUGUGACUUGAAUUUUGAGUAGAUCUUGAAACUUCGAAUCAAUAGUGUGUUUGUUUUUUGGUGUUUUCCUGUGUUUUCUUCAUUGAAUCACACUAAGCAUGCCCCUACGAUCACAGGGCACCAAACACAGCUCAAUUCUGUGACCGAACAAAGAUUUUACAAGUUUGGAAUUUUGGCCAGAAUCAAGGAUUCUGAUGAUGGAAUUUGCAGUUUUUUCAUCAUCUUCAUGUGCAGAAUCCGACCGUUGAUCAUGUACGGGGUUCAGGUCAAAGAUGGCCCGAGACCUUAAGCCCACAAUGGAAUUGGUCUCGUGUUGAUCGGGCUCAUGAGCAGUAUGAUUUGGCCGCUUGAGCAAGGCAUGACGCUGCUGAGUUUACUGCACUUUCUUCACGGAUCAGCAACUUCUCUCUAGUUUUUCUUCAUGCUUGGGUAUCAUCACGAGGCGUGCCAUAUAUCGAAUCGCUCGUCUUGACUAGACGAACAUGCUCACCAAAUUUGAGCACGAUCCGAUCUGGGACGGUUGAGAUAUAAGCGUCGAAAGCCACUAGUCGUGACUGUCCCUUUAAUGGUGUAGUGUUGUAGGGUGGCCGCAUGGGAAUAGCGUGCGGCUCCUCCUAUUUUACUCUUUCACCUAUAACAUUUUUCUGGAGUGUCCGUUUGGGCUGAAACUUAACCCCUAUAGGUUUUCAACCGUGUCGGAUCCAAUGGUGAUGGUCCUACAGUAAUUUGAGAUGCUGAAAAGGUAGCUCUAGUUAUAGGGUGCAAGAGGUUGAUUCUGCCGGAACUGUUUCUCAGUCUACACUGCCUUAAACACGUCAAAAUGCGAAGAAACUUGACAUGAGACUUUUGAGAGACCUCAUGAAGAUCCUGGAUAGUUCUAGGGCUGUUUUGAGACUAUCAAAAUUUCCACUAUUUUUUAGGCCUUUAUUUUAGUGGGGGCUUCAUGUUGAUGAAAAAUACCUUCCAAUAGCAUGCCUCACUGAAUGUUGUGCUUCGAGAGAAUCGAGAAGUGCAAUCAUUUAGGAAGUUUGAUGGAUCUUCGUAGAGUCCACACCCUCAAGAGACGAUCUGUGGUUAUAGAGCAUGAGGCCUUUGUCAAGACCUCCUAGUAUAGAACCGGGCCUUUUUUUUUUGAAGGCCAAAUGCUAUGAACCUCUGGUCGGAACUGCUGCUACACCAUGUUUUCCUUUGAUGUGCUGGGUAUCCCUAUAGGUCCCGUCUAGUGGAGUCCAAUCGUGGGCUUCUGGCCCUCCUGAAAGUCUGGUCCCCUGCUAGCUAGAGGGCUUUAGCGAGAUGUACCCUGAAUCCUAUGGCAACCAUGGCCUUGUUAGUAUCUGUCCUUUGUAAUGGACCUUAGCAUUUAUGGAGGGAUCUUUUCAUCAUCAUCCUUACCCUCAAGGACUCUCUAUGGUUCUGGAGCAUGAGGCCUUUGUCAGGACCUCCUUGUACAAAACCAGACGUUUUUUGAAGGCCAAAUGCUAUGAAGCCUCUGGUCGGCACUGUUGCUACACCAGGUUUGCCUUUGAUGUGCAGGGUAUCCCUGUAGGUCCCAUCUAGCGGAGUCUAAUCGGGGUCUUUUGGUCUGCUCGAAAUUCUGGUCCCCUGUUGGCUAGAGGGCUUUGGCGAGACGUACCCUGAAUUCUGUGGCAACCCUGGCCCUGUUAGUCUCUUGCCUUCGUAAUAGCCCUUAGCAUUUCUGGAGGUGGAGGGAUCUUUUCGUCAUCGUCCUCACCCUCAAGGACUCUUUGUGGUUAUGGAGCAUGAGGCCUUUGUCAGGACCUCCUCGUACAGAACUAGGCUUGUUUUUGAAGGCCAAAUGCUACAAACCUCUGGUCGGCACUAUGGCUACACUAGGUUUUCCUUUGAUGUGCAGGGUAUCCCUGUAGGUCCCGUCUAGCAGAGUCCAAUCAGGGGCUUCAAGCCCGCCUGAAAUUUUGGUCCCCAGCUGGCUAGAGGGCUUUGGCGAUACGUGCCCUGAAUCCUAUGGUAACCCUGGCCUUGUCAGUCUCUUGCCUUCGUAAUGGCCCUUAGCAUUUCUAGAGGGAUAUUUUUGUCAUCGUCCUCACCCUCAUGGGCUCUUGUUUUUGCUGAACUGGGGAGACCUUAUGAGGCUUUCACUCCCUGACGAGCCGUUGAAACUGGGGAGAUCUUGUGAGGCUCUCACUCCCUGACGAGCCAUUCAAACUGAGGAGAUCUUAUGAGGCUCUCACUCCCUAACAAGCCAUGAUUGUUGAGCUGUCGGCUGAGACUGUUGAAGUGCAUCAACCUACUUUAUCGGUCCAAGCACCCUUUCAUGGGUUUUCACUUGAACAAGGGAAGUGGCACCGUGAAGACGGUUUUCACGAACUUUCGUUAUUUCUGGGCUCUUUUACCCAUGACUUUGUGGUCAUGUCCACCCUUUUCAUCCAUUUUUACUCACGGUGCCCUUUUGGGGUUUUCACUGUGCUUGGGUUUAUUUUUCCACGGAACUCUCUUACUCAUGGUUUUGUGACCAUGCCCGUCCGUCAUUUUUCUCUUGGCGUUCCCUUGUCCAAGUGUGCACCAUGCCCGUUUUUUUUUUAGAGAAUACAUGUUUUAAGGUCGUGCCUUCGAGACCUAUGCGAAGCCUUUUAAUAUCAUGCGGCUAGGACGUGCACUAUAGUUUUAGGGUCAUAAAGCUGGACCAUAACGGCAAGGAGUGGCAGUCUGUAGAGGCCAUAGAGUGAGUUUGGGGGUGACUUUGCUUCAUUUUGGAAGGUGGCAUGAAGUUGCAUGUAGAGAGUUGAUUGGAUGAUAGGUGAAAAGUGGUGACCCAUUAGCUGGCGAUGAGAUGUCUCGCCGUUUGGUGAGCAUGGUUAAGAUUUUGGGGAAUGAAAUGAAAGAUGGUGAAGGUGGCCCGCACACAUGAAUGGGUCAGCUUAGGAAGACGUGUGUUGCGAUGCAUGUAAAGGGUGUGUGUGCACACGUAGACUCACUAGAGAGGCAAUGGAAGUGGUGUAGGUGGCCCGCGCAUAAGAAUGGGCCGGCUGGGGAAGACGUACAUGGUGAUGCAUGUAAAGGGCGUGUGGGCCUAGGUAGGCUAACUGGAGAGAAGAAGAAGAUGGUAUGUGCGCACCAAUGGGCUAGUUAGGGAAGACGUGUGUGGUGAUGCAUGCAAAAAGGGGGGUGUACGCGCACAUGGCACAUCUUUAAGGUCGUGCCUUCUGGACCGGGGUAAAGCAGUUUAAUGUCAUGCGGUCAGGACGUGCAUUAUGGUUUAAGGUCAUAUAGCUUGGACCAUGGUUAUGCAGUUUAAAGUCAUGCAACUAGGACCGUAAAGUUUAAGGUCGUGCGACAGUUUAUGGUCAUAUAGUUUGGACCGUGGCUAUGCAGUUUAAGGUCAUGCAGCAUGGACCGUGUAUGAGUCGCCAUGUCAGUAGGGUUGCAUGGGGGUAGGUAUGUGGAUAGCAAUUUGACUCCCUAGAGAUAAAGAUAGUUAAGGCUAUCCACAUGUGAAGAGACGUAGAUGGAGGUGGUGACCUACGAGGGGUAGUUAACGGGAAAGGCUUCACUGGGGAUUAGGAGGGCCAGUGUGACUCCAUGGGGAUAAUGAAUAUCGGUGUGCAUGGAACUCCGAGAGGCCAGGGCAUGGAUGAACCCCCCCUCGUGGGUUGAAGGAAGAACGUCUCUAACUCUCUGGAGAUGACGGGAUGAAUACAACCCUUACAUGCAUCUAAAUCCAUUGGGGGUCCAGUUGGAGUUAUGCCUAUGGACCAUUUGGCGCAUUGCACUUUACAAUUUUAGGGUCUUGUAGCUCGGACCAUGGAUGAGCAGUUUAAAGUCAUACGGCUAGGACCAUACAGUUUGUGGUUGUGCAACUAGACCUCCACUACAGUUUAGGGUCAUAUAGUUUGGACUGUGGUGCUAAGCCUUUUGACGUCAUGCGACCAUGACGUGCAUUAUAGUUUAAGGUUACACAGCUGGACCAUGGUCGUAAGUUUAAAGUCAUGUGAUAAGGACUUUGCAGUUUGAGGUCGUGCAACUAGACCUCCGCUAUAGUUUAAGGUCAUACAGUUCGAAUCGUAGUCAUACAGUUUUGAGUCGUGAGACAAGGACUAUGGCGAUGCAGUUUUAAGGUAUUAAGGUCAUGCAGCGUGGACCAUGGUGAUGCAGUUUAAGGUCAUGCAGAGUGGACCAUGACUGUUCAGUUUAAAGUCAUAAGCUAGGACCAUGGCGAUGUAGUUUAAGGUCAUGCAGCGUGGACCAUAGCUGUGCAGUUUAAGUCAUACAGCUAGGACCAUGGCGAUGCAGUUUAAGGUCAUGCAACGCAGACCAUGGCGAUGUAGUUUAAGGUCAUGCAGAGCCAACCCUGGCUAUGCAGUUUGAAGUCAUACAACUAGGACCAUGGCUGUGCAGUUUAAAGUCAUACAGUUAGGACCAUGGUGAUGCAUUUUAAGGUCAUGCAGUGCGAACCAUGGCUGUGCAGUUUAAAGUCAUAGAGCGAAAACCAUAAAGAUGGAGGGAAUAGAGUCAUUACCAGAAAUUGGGCUCACUGAGGGUCGAGGUUGUGGUGUAGGGAAUGAAAUUCUUGAGGAUAUGGGACGAUGGUCCGGAGGGGAGCGUCAGGCCUGCGUAUGACGCUAAGUACAGCAUUAGACCUGGAUGAUGGCGUGAAGUGUGGUAGUAGCCCUUGGCCAGACGCAAGGUGGUAACUCCUUAACGGGGGGCACGACAAUCGCCUCUUGACGAAGCGUUCAGUGGUAGUCCCUGGAUGAGACGCGUGGUGAAAAUCUUCUUAACAAAGCGCGUGACACUAGUCCCCUAGACUAAGUCCUAAUGAGGCGCUCAGUGAUUCUUCUUCGAGUCUCAGGCUUGGCUGCCUCAGCUCGACCUUAUCACCAUCAACAGCUAGGAACUGGAGCAUCAUUCUGAGUUUGUGGGGGGGGGGCAGUCCUAGGUACUGCGGGGUGUAAAAGGGGGGAGAGACCCCACAUUACAUUUUUAUUGAAGGGUAAAACAGUAGAAGGGCUUUUUUGUUUUAGAGAGAAAGAGAGCCAAAGCUCCUAACGAGGGUUCCCGUGUGAGUUGCUGACUUAUCCCAAGGGACUGUGAAGCCCAAGAUCUCAUCAUUUGCAAGUGUGGAGGGGGCCCACCUCUGGGCCCUAAAAGUCUGACCCCUGAGGAUGUCCUGUCUCUACAUCUCCUACAACUAUAACACAUGGGGCAGCAACUUCCUGCUGCUUGGGUGGCUCCUCUUCAUUCCCUGGGGCACUAGCCUCUUUUAUGAUCGCAAGCUCUACCGGGGCUUCCCUUUCCUCGAUAGGCAUAGCAACCUCCAGAGCUUCAGCAUCCCUCUUCGUCUGAGCCGCCCCAUCAAGGUCGGCUUCAUCAGCCCCGCUCAUCUCCAUCGGGACUGGGUCCUCCCCUUCAGCUUCGGACGUUACUUCUUGGUCCGAAGCAAUUUCAAUCAGUGCAGUGGGAUCUGAGGCACCAGCAUGAGUCUCUGAAGAGCCAGAGGAGGAAGACUCCUCAAGAGCAGAAGGUGAUGCAGAAAUAGUAGGAGACACGUAUGACUUCGAAGAAGCAGCAGGCGAAGAGCCAUCUUCCGGCUCCCGAACCAUUGGACGCUUGAGCCCUUACGCUUCGAAGCCUGACGAGCAGGUGCACGAGGAACGGUCAGGGCAGCCCACUUCCUCUUCUUCCCCUUCGCUUGAGAGGGGUGCAGCAGUCUCAGAAGCACCCCCUCAAGAAGGGCCAGCAGCAUGCUUGUUGUAUCAACUUAUUCAAAUCCUGGACCGGGCGCCCUUCACACCCUGGAACCUUGCAGCCCUCCAUCCAUUUGAAGAUAGCAGAGAGGUUGUCAAAAAUUCUUUGUCUUCUUCUCCAUAUUGAGAAACCAUGGCAAAGACUUGUCUGCGGCAAUCUAGCAAGGCCGCCCAACGACACGCUAGUUCUAGGGGAAGCUCAGGGUGAAUAUCUCCCCCAAUGGAGGAUUCAUCGUCACUUUCCUCUGUCGUGUGUUCUAGCUCCAGUAGGUGUUAUCCCCUUUCCAAGGGUGGUCGGCCUCCCAAUACCCCUUACUAGUGAUUCGCCACCAGAGUUCGUGGGCCUCGGUUGCUCGCACUACUCUGCCAAAAUAUGGCAGCACGUACUUGUUGACCACUGUAAACUCCAAGCACGUGGCCCAAGCUGUGUAAAUGUGCCUCAAGAGCCAGGUCUCACGAUGGGUCCCUAGCUGGUCUUUCUUCAUGUGGCUAACUUUGCUAUGCCGCUUCUGAAAUAACACCGAGAAUGGACACCCUUGGUCUAGCCCGUGCUGUCGAGAAAAUCAAUGAGGGAAAUACCCCUCAAGCUUGACACUAUGAAUGGUACAGUAAGGUAGCACCCCGCCUUUGACACUCAGCCUAUACAUCAACUCCUUAUGGGUGGUAGGAGCAUCAUUAUCAUUCAGGCUCUUGCCCAGCUCAUCGGCAAAAGCACGAUCUAUGAGGUUCCCAACCAGGAAGGCCGGUCUACUCAUAUGAAGAUGGUCAUUGUAGAGCAAGUUACAAGCAUGACCAAGAGUGUGGAAGAUUGCUUUCUGCCAGCAAUCAUCGGAAAAAACAGGCACAUUGUCUCAUCCAACACCCUAUUUAUGAGGUAGGUGUUGGGGAAAUAAAGCCCGAGCCAGCCAUACACAUAGUGGAUGGGAAAAAGCAUCUUGAAGUCCUCUAGGAAGGCUUCGCCAUCCACUAUGUUGUUCCCUCCUUCGUCGCCUUGAUACAUUUUUCCUCUAGACAUGGCUCUCAAGCCAUAAUAGAUGUUGCAUACGACCGGUUGUGUGAGCACGUACUCUCUCCCCCUUGCCAUGUCACAAGCUACAUAGAACGUGCUUGGAUGUAUAAUGUAUGCUUCUUCGGGAAGAGCAAACUUACACCAAAAGAGCACCAGGUACGCCGCCAAGAAGUUGUGGUCAUUCCCGCGGUGACGCUCAAAUACUAGAGGAGUUCCCUUCAUGGAUUCCUUCCCCUUUCUUCAUGGGCUUGGGCCAGCGUCAUCAUCAAAGUCCCCAUAGAAGAACGCCACCCACUGGGUGAAGGAGACGUGUCCUUUCUUGGACUCAAGCCGAGCAGUUUCUAAAUCCCGAACAACUCUUGCAAUCCUGCUGGUGGGUCUUCUUUCCCUACCCGUUCACCUCCAAAAAUGACUGAGUUUGGGGGCACGAACGGUGGGAUACUAUUCAAUAGCACCUUGACCGUCUUUGAACAACGGUCAUAGUAUCCCAUUGAGCACUAAACGGUGGCCAGCUGGGAAGUGCACUUCAGAAUAUCCCUGUAUCGACUCAGCACCCUUACAGUCCAGGAUGAAUACCCAUUCAGAUACUCGUGCUCCCCUCACACUCGGAGACCAGCAGAAGACCACUUCAGGCCCGGGGUCUUCACCAUUCUUUUGCCUAGGGUUGGCAAAUCCCCACCUAAGGCUAUAUUUCUAUGCAAGCAGUGAAGGAGGCCUACCCCUUCUUCUAGUCUUACAAUCUCGUCGCCGUCUUCUCUAACCUCAAAGCGAACAGGGUCACUAGCAAAGGUGACACUCAAAGGCCACCUUGGUUCACUCAAAGCCUUGGUGAGCCAGAUUGGCUCACCCCUCACCAAGCUUUCACCGGUGAAUUCAUUUGUGCCAAGCUCCCCUACUCGUGGGAGGUUCUUCACAUCUGGGAUGGCUCCUGAAGGUUGGGCCAUGAAGACUAGAACAAAGGCUUCACUACCGCGUGCAAGUCACUAAGAGUCUGCCUUAUCGCCAUGCACAGAAGGCAGAGCUAUCGCCGACUGUGUAAGGCUUCCACAAAAUGCUAAGGCGUAGCACCGACUGCCUUCGCAAGGGAGUAUCGUCGGCUGGUCACUAAAGGCAUAAAGCCGACUGCUCUUAUAAGGAGGCUAUCAUCGUGCACAUAAGGUAGGGCUAUCGCCGUCUCAUGACCAAGGAGGCUAUCGUCAUGCCCAAAAGGCAAGGCUAUCGUCAUCUCACAACUAAGGGUUUAUCACCAUCUGAAAGCAGAAGAAUUGCAUAAAGACUGGGAUGAAGAGUGGGCUAAUGUCGUCUAUGUUUAACACCUGUGCUCCAGCUAUUUGCAUGCGUCACAUGUGUGGCACACCACGUCCCUUGAAAUCUGGGCACGCCGCCUGACACUCGCAGUGUAGCCUGUCACCCUGGGUAUGCAGGGUGACUGUUCGCCAUCCCACGGUCCUUCACCUCCCCGACCGUUGCAGCCUCACGAUGCCUCGGGUUCUCACCGGUGUUUCCUCUCCUCGCCGGGAACUCACUCCUACUCUCCAGGAAACCCUUCCCCACCAUUUCCCUCUCUUCCACCGGUGAUCGAAGCUAACAAACAAUAACUGGAAUUCCCAUAGAACCUGCGGGUUUCCCUUCUCCCUUCUUUGCACGCCUCAACUCGCCGAAAUUUCACUGUGUUUUCGGUGAGCCCACUGCUGCUCCUCCUUCUUCUCCGUCAGAGUCCCCUGACCUCUCUGCAACCUGCAAGAAACCACAGAAUGACCGAAAGAUCACUGGAACUCUGGCAAAGUACCACUGCGACCCUUGCAACUUUGCCAGAGUCUCGAUGAAUCCUUGUGAAGCUUCAUGUUCCCUGCUCAAAAGGUCUCAGCACUCUCUGAAGAAGUUCGCAAGCGCUUUGCGAAGGCUCACGACUCGCUGAAGUUUGCUGAAGAACUCUUCAAUGCCUGCACACUAUGAGUUUUGGCCUGGAAACUCUUGCCAAAAGUCUCUUGACGGAAGCCCCAGCUCUCUCUAAAAACUCUCUUCACUAUUUUACCCUUAGGUAAAAUAGUAUAAUGGGGUUUUACUCCCUUUUAUACUCAGUUGUGCCGCGAAGGGCCCCUCACAAGUUCGAAAUAAUGCUUCAAUCCUCAUUUUCAAACAGCGAUAGAUCCAGCUCAAGGCAGCUCAAAGCCCGAUGCCUGAAUACGAAUCGUUGCCGCCUGUGCCUCAUGAAACUACUACCAUCUGUUACUAUCACUAUGCCUUAUCGUCGUGUAUCCUUCGAAGGCCAUCGUCGUGUGCUUCACCAGAAGCUAUCAUCGUGCACUUCACAAAGGGUUAUCGUCGCGCGCUUCAUGAAGUGUUAUCGUCGUGCACCUCACCAAAGUCUUAAACGUUGUGCGCUUCACCAAGAAGCUAUCAUUGUGCGCUUUGUCAAGAAGCUAACGUUGUGUGCUUCGCGAAGACCUAACGUCGUGCGUGCUUCACAAGAGGUAAACUCCAUGUGCAUUAUCCACAGGCCUAACGUUGUGCGCACGUCAUCCGGGCCUAACGUCGUGUCCGUCAUCCAAAACUUAGCACCAUGCGCAUACUAUGUCACUCCCACUUGGACCAUCGUUCUGCAUCCUCAGGGAGUUCAUUCCCUGCACCGCACUCCUCACUCCUCAGGGAGUUGAGUCUCCAAUUAUGGCUCUAUUCCCCAUGGAGUCACAUGCUCUUUCCAUCUAAAUGGUCUACAUGCAUGACCUAAACUAUAUGGUCCAAAUUAUAUGACCUUAAACUGUAGUGGAGGUCUAGUUGCACUACCUUAAACUGCACAGUCCUCGUUGCAUGACUCUAAACUACAUAACCAUGGUCAAGAUGUAUGACCUUUAACUGCAGUACACCCCCUAGUUGCAUGACAUUAAAAGGCUUAGCACCAUGGUCCAAACUAUAUGACCAUAAACUGUAGCGGAGGUCUAGUUGCACAACCUUAAACUGCAUGGUCCUAGUUGCAAGACUUUAAACUUCAUAGCCAUGGUCCAAGCAACAAGACUUUAAAAUUAUAGCGCACGCCCCUGUAGCAAGACGUUAAAAUGACGUGACAAAUAAUCCAUGCGCAUGACUUUAAUCUGUGAAAAGGAUGCACCUCCCACAUCCCUAGUAGGAGCCACAUCCGUAUAGCGGCCCAUUAUCCCCAAUGGAGUUAGGGUCAUUCUUAUCUCUUCAAUCCCCGAUAGGGUUCCACCUGUGCUCCAGCCUUUCAUUUUCAGCGGAGUUACAUGCAUAAUAUUGUUCAUUAGCCCCGUGGAGUCAUGCUUAUCCCUUCAAUCCCCUUAAGUUAGUCGCGCUCCAAAUUAUCCUAUUCUCAGGAGUUGGGUUACUUUCCCAUGAGCCAUGGAGUUCAUCUUUCACCUUAGGGAGUCAUACUUGUCUUACAAUCCCCAAUGAAAUUACAAUCCCCAAAGAAAUUUACCUCGCCAUUUAAACCUCUUGCUAUUUUUAACCAUUUUUAUCCCCAAGGGAGUCGGAUUGCUAUCCACAUACCUAUUCCCCAUUGAGAAUCGCCUACAUGGCAACUCUCCUUAACGGUCUAGGUGCACGACCAUAAACUGCAUGGUCCAAACUAUAUGACCUUAAACUGUAGUGGAGGUCUAGUUGCAUGACCUUAAACUGCACAGUCCUCAUUGCAUGACUCUUAAAUUACAUAACCAUGGUCCAGUUGCAUGACCUUAAAUUGUAGUGCACGUCCUAGCCGCAUGACGUUAAAAGGAUUAGUAAAAUUGUCCAAACUAUAUGACCUUAAAAUGUAGCAGAGGUCUAGUUGCACAACCUUAAACUGUAUGGUCCCAUGGGCAUGACUUUAAAUUGCAUAACCACGGUCCAAGCUAUAUGACCUGAAACCAUAAUGCGCAUCCUGGCCGUGUGACGUUAAACUGCUUUGCCUAGGUCUCGGAGGCAUGACCUUAAUACGUGCAUCUUCACUCAUGUCUUCCCUAAUCGACCCGUUCGUGUGCAAGCACCACCUUCAUCAUUUCCCCAGUGAAUCCAUUCACUUUAUCAUUACAUUCAUCAUUCCCCAAUGAAUCUCACCCAUGCUCACAAAAUGGCAAACCAUCCUGCCAUCCAUACUUGUCGUAAGCUAGUGGGUCACCACUUUUUAUCUUCCAUUCAUACGUCUUCCACUUUUCAUAGGUAGCCUCGUACCAUCUCCCCAAAGUGAGUCAAAACCACCACCACAAUCACUCUAUGGCCUCUACAGAUUGUUAUCUAUCCCCACCAUGGUCUAGCUGUAUGACCUUAAACUAUAGUGUACAUCCUGGCCGCAUGACGCUAAAGGGCUUCGCACAGGUCCCGAAGGCAUGACCUUAAACACUCCUUCACACAAAUAAAUAAAUAAAUAAUAAUAAAAUAACGGGCAUGGUGUAUACCUGAACAAGGAAACGUCAUGAGUAAAAAUGAUGGAUGGGCAUAGUCAUGAAACCAUGAGUAAAAGAUUUUCGUGAAAAUAAAAACCCAGGCAUGAUGAAAAUCCCAAAGGGGCUCCGUGAGCAAAAACAGAUGAAAUGGGUGGACAUGACCGUAAGGUCAUGGGUAAAAGAACCCAAAAAGAAAGUAGGUUGGUGAAAACCGUCUUUACAAUGCCACUUCCCCAGUCCAAGCGAAAACCUGCAAAGGGCGCUUGGACCAAUAAAGCAAGUUGACACAGCAUCACAACCUCAGCCAGCACCCAAUUGCCAAACAGGCACAAUUUUGGCUAAUGAGGUCUACUCAAAAUCCUCAGCUACCAGCAUCCAAUCACAACACAAAAUGGCUCACCCGGGAGUAAGAGCUUCACAAGAUCUUCCAAACUUCAACAUCAAAAUCAAAAAGGGUCCCUAAGGGUGUGGGCGAUGAACAAUUAAUCCCUCAAAAUCCAAAAGAUUCCCUGAGGGUGGGGGCAAUGAACAAUUGAUCCCUCCAAAAUAAAAAAGAGUCCCUGAGGGUGCGGGCGAUGCACAAUAAAUCCCCUAAAAUCAAAAAGAGUCCUUGAGGGUGAGGACGAUGAUCAAAAGAUCCCUCCAAAAUGCUAAAGACACUCAUGAAGGCAAGAAACUGACAAAGGGCAGAACCUACCAGAGACUUCUGGGUGAUGCCUCGCCAUGCGGCUGCCUCGCCAAAAUCCCUCCCUAGCUGACAGUUCCAAACUUUCGGGACAUGUCAACAAAAAGCCCCCGACUAGACCCAGCAGGAUGAGGACCCACCAAGGUAGCUUGAUUGUCAAAAGCUAACCGGGUGUAAUAGCAAAUGACACCGACCGAAGGCUCAUAGCACUUGGCCGCCAGAUAGGCCUAAUUCUGACCAACGAGGUCUAAACAAAAUCCUCAGCUGCCAGAAUCACAAAUAGUCCCUUAAGACUGAGGACUUCUACAUGAUCCCUCAAAGUCUCUUCUCCCCUUAAAGUCUCCACGAAUGGACCUGUACAUUGCAUCCAAACAUUUGAGCAUCCUAGUUACGGCAUUGGGUAGAUCUCCUCGACGUUCACGUGGUCCUGUGGCUAGGAAAAAAAAGGAAAUAAAGCUAGUGGAAAUUUUUUUAAUGUUGUCCUUCUCGCUUCUCUUGAAGCACAACAUUCGGCUGGGCAUGCUGUUUGAAGACAUUUUUCAAUAUUAUGGAUCUCUGAUGCAGAAUAAAAGGAGAAGCCGAUCAAUAAAACCUGACAGAUAAUGAAAAUUUUGACAAUCUCAUAAUGGCCCCAUAAUAGGUCAAGAUCUUCAUAAGGAUUUCAAAAAGUUUCCUUCCAAGUUUUGUCACGAUCCGACAUCUUUAAGGCAGUGCAGACUGAGAAACAGUUCCGACAGAAUCAACCUCUAGCACCCUGAAACAAACUCCUAUACCUGGAACCCUACUUUUGGAGCAUCACACAGUUGUGAGAUCACCGCCUUUGGAUACGGCACGAUUAAAAACCCUCAAAAGUUAAAUUUCAGCUUAAACGAACACUUCAUGAAGAAGUGAUGGGUGGAAGACCGAAACAGGAGAGCCGUACACUAUUCCUAUGCGGCCACCCUGCAAGUAAUCUCCAUUAAAGGGACAGUCAUGAACAGUGACUUUCGGGGUCCAUACUUCAUUCGUCCCCAGUUAGAUCGUGCUCAAAUUUUGUGGACGUAUUCGUCUCGUCAAGACAGCCGUUUCGAUAUGUGGCAUGCCCCUUGACAACAUUCGAGCACAAAGAAAAGCUAGGGAGAAGUUGCUGAUCCAGGAAGAAAGUAGUAGGAAAAUCAGCAGCGACACGCCUCACAUGAGUUGCCAAAUCACGGCGCUUGAGAACCCGAUCAACAUGAAAGAAAUUGCAUCGCGUGCAUAAGAUCCAUGGCUAUCACUGGUCCGAACCCGACGCAUGAUAAAUGAUCAGAUUUUGCACAAAAAUCUGAUGAAAUGGCCGAAAAUUUGGGCACCAGAAUUCCAGAUUCCGGCCAAAACUCAAAAGUUGUAAAAUCUUCGUUCGAGCAGGAAAUCGAGCUGUGUGUUGUCAUGCGACCGUAACAGCAUGCUCAGUGUGAUCCAGUGAAAAAAUAACAGAAAAACAUCAAGAAACGAGCACACUAUAUAUCUGAAGUUUGCAAGAUUCAUUUAAAUUUCAAAUCGCAUGAUAGUAGCUUAAAAACAUGAUCCAUGGCUCGAAGUUGGUAUCAAAUCGAUCGCCAUACUGAGCCCUAUAAAAAAACAAUCAUCUUUCAAACAAAUAGGCACUAGAGCAACCUCGAAUCAUCCAUGAAAGAUAACGCACAUUCUAGGGCAGUGGCAAGGACUGUUUUGGAAUUUUCCCAAUUGUUAGAAAGGGGCAAAUCAGUCAUUUUUCACCCUAUUUUAUUUAAUUCAAUUAAAUCUUAAUUUUCAGCAAUUAGGUUUAAUUUUUAUCAAUCCACCCAUGUUUGGGCAAAACUCCAUAUAUAUCAUGUACUAUCAUUAUACAUGGAGUGAACUUUGCUUGAUAAAAUUUCCAUCUCCUAUUAUUGUUGGGUCAAGUUUUGAGAGAGACAUGAAGGAGAAAGAAACUUUUAGGUCGAUACCCUUGAGCUUAAGGUACAUCUCUUUCUCUCUCUUCUCUUCUUUCCUCUCUUCUCUCUUCUUCUCUUUCUUCUCUUUCGUCUGAGUUUUUCUUAGAAGCCAUGCAUAGCAGUGGCAGUGUCGUGCAUGCCUCUUCCUUUCUUUCUGUUCCUGUGGUUUUGCAUGUCAUGCAUGGCAAUGGCAGCGCCAUGCAUGAGUUUUUUUCCCCCUCUCUUCAUUCAUCUUUAUCUCUCAACGAAGUUCACAGAUGACGCUGCUCAUCAUUGUCCGCAUGCGUAUCCUCGGUGUCCCGCUUAAGCGCAGAUGGCGAUGACUAUUGCCGCUUCCAGGGGUUUCAUCCUGAUGCGCAGACAACGAUGCCUAUCGCCACCCGCGAAGGGUCACGACGAUACCUAUCAUUGUCUGUGAGCUUCUCUCUCACACCCUGUGCCUAUCACAGACAGCGAUGCCUAUCGCCACCCGUGAAGGGUCGCAAAAAUGCGUAUGGCUGUCUGUAGGCUUCUUUUACAUGCUCGAUGCCUAUCACCAUCCUCGAGCUUCGUUCGUGUGUUCGGUGCCUAUCGCCGUCUGCAGGCUUCUCUCAGGUCCCACGCUUAUUGUCGUGCGCUUCACAAGAAAGCUAUUGUGGCCUGGGGAGGGAUGUGUUGUCUUUUCGUGUCGCAACGCUGUUUGAAGUUCGCUGCCUGCCCCCUUUCAUCGUGAGCAGUAAUGUCCAACACUGUCUAGGGCCACAACACUGUUACUCCAUGGCCAUAGCGAUCUUAACACUGUCGAGAUCCUCCCUCUUCGCCGUCUCACACCUUCUCUUCAUUCUCUUUUCUUCUCUUUUCUCCUCAUUAUUGCUUGACUAAAAGACAGACUCAGUUUAGCAAUAUCAUAGUGAUCUGGCUAUCCAGCAGUAGUACCAUAGUGCUUGUCCUUAGUACCAUGCCCGUCUUGAUGCCACACCAGAUUAAGCCAGUCAUAUUGACCUUGGUUUCGAGUAGUAUUGUUGUCGUGUAGGUCUAAGUUACCGUGCCCAUCUUGCUACCACUCCGAGUUAGUCACCAUAUUGGUCCGGCUAUCGUGCUAGUCUCGUCCCCUUAUCAAGUCGUCUUCUCUUUUUUUUUCUUUGUUUGAACCUACUUCUUCAUCACCAUAACUUCUUAUCUUCUCUGCCAUGUGAAUGUGCAUUGCCCUAAGACAAGGGUGGGUCCUUCGACCCACUUGUCUUGCAAGUUAACCAUGAUAGUGUUGUUCAGAAAACAAGGCGAUUACAGGUCAAGGGAGGUGAUUUCGAACCAACGGAGGCAGCUUGGGGGCUUUCUAUAGUGAUCUAAGAGGGUGCCCGUGCAAGUCAGCCCGAGUAAGUCACGAACCCAGGUGAGGUUAGUCCCCACCUCACGAAUAAAAUUCCUCUCUCACUAAUUGGGAACCUGCCCUUGUUCUGUGAACAAGGUCCUCGAGAGAAAUCUCAGGUCGCGGGUCUUCCGAACCCAAGACAUAUGUCACCCGAUCACCUUGAUACGAGGAGGCGAGAUCAAGGCAUCUGACCACCUACCUGGACUUUUUCCACAACCACAGCUUCAAAGCCCUAACAUUAGUUCAGUUCGUGGCCCCAUAUCUGAUGGUAUGGGCACUAGUAAUUCUCGGUCCCUUGAGCAAGGUGUUUGGGCUGCCUUGCCAGCUGGGGAGUGACAAGCCCUUAUUGGUGCAUCACCUCAAACAGGGUUAGAAGGGGAUCCGAAUUAUCAUUUCGAAGUCUUGAGUCAAGGGGUCCUCUUGUACCAAUGGAGGAGAGGUUUGGGGAUCUCUGUCUGGGACGUCACCAACUUCUUGGCCUUUCUGCAUUUUCUUCGCUAAUAACUCGUGGAAGUUAGAGCAUUCGCUCAAGUCAUGCCCCGAUAUCUUAUGAUAUGGGCAUCAUAGACCCUUGGCUCCUUGAGUCUGGUGUUUGGGUUGUCUUGCUAGUUUUGCCAUGAUGAGGCCUUCUUAAAGCAUCAUGGCAAACAUGGCACAAAGGAUGAUGGGUGCCUCAUCUUCAUACUGAACUGUCACUGUGUGGGAUGCUUCUGCUGUCCUGAAUGCUUUCUUGAGUUCUUUAAGCUUGAUCUAACACUUUUUAAUUAGAGCCACGAUGAGAUCUUUAAGUGUGUAGCAUUUUUUUGUGGAGUGAUUUAUCAUUUGAUGAUAAGCGUAGUAUCUUGCGUGCGUGUCAAGACCAGCUUGAUCAGGGAACUUGACCUCGGGCAGCUCGAUCAUGUUCUGUCCCAGCAAUAGUCAGAGCAGUGCAGGAACCCAUUCCUUUUCAAAAGGAUAAACCUUGUUCUGAUGUCUGGUGAAAUAGUCAUCUCGAAUAAGGUUUGCAGGGGGGGUACCCGGUUGUACAACGACUGUUGUUUGCCUAUCUAAGGUGUUGUCUUUGUUGUGCUUACCCCUUUGGAAAGGUCCAAAGUCUGAGAGGUAGCUUUUUUUGAAUCACUGACGGUAACGACUGCACUGAUCACCCCCUUUUGUUGGUUGCCCCGGGCGUUGAUACGAGAAGUACCAUUGCCCCAGUUGUUUCUCGAGCUUAAGGACUAUUGUCGUGACCCACCAUGCUGGCGUGACAGACUCUCUAUGCGAAUUGACUUAGAGAUCAGCUCUGACAUGGAGGUCGGGUUGAAGGAGCAAUUUCAGGUCGCAGGUUUCGUACACAAGUUUGAACUGCUUCCUUCUCAAGCAUGGUAUUGGGAUGACGAGCAGCCAAAUCUCUCCACCUUACUAUGAAUUGAUCUACAGGUUCAUCUGGAUCUUGGGUCAAAGUGAGAAGCUAGAUGGUUUGAACCUCUCUCUCAACCUCAUAGAGGCGUUAGUGGAACAGUUUCUCUAUUUGCUCUCAAGUAUGUACUAAGUUUGUGGGAAGUCGAGCAUACCACUGAAAAGCCGGGCCAUCAAGGGUUACAACAAACUGAUGGAGUAGGAGUCUCCCACCAGUGCUGUCUCUCGACAUGCUGCUUGGAAAUGGGCAAUAUGCUGGUGCGGGGAUGUGGUAUCAUUGAACAAGGGAAACUUCUCUUUUUUGUAAUAUGAGGGAAACAACUCCUGGUCAAUGUAUGAAGGGUACGGCUUUUGAUAAAGUGUUGUACCCUGUAUUCCCAAGAUUUGUCUGUCCUUUAGGUUGUGAGUCACCAUAGCUGCUUGUGAGACAGGGUGAGGGAUAGAAUUAUCCUGUGAGGCAGAAGGAGUAGGCUGCCUUGGAGGUGUAUCAUCUGAAUGAUGGGAGUUGACCUCAUGGUUAGCCGAAUGUCGCGCGGCAUCUAUGUGAUCAAUCUUCUCCAUCAUUGCAUGCACAUGUCUUCGAACUUAUUCAUGAGCUCUUCCUGCGAGUCAGGUUCAUUUAUAACCAUUAUGCUGACUGUUUCUCCAGGGAGGUCAGCCUUAUUGCAUUUGAGGGCUUCCGAGCUUGAUGGGUUGCACGUGGCAAAUCGGUCAGCAAGGGGUCAACAUGCCUCGACUGGACUUGACUCUUGUAUACCGAGUUUGUGAGGACCGGUUCUUGACGGUCUUGGGACCGUGGCUGCUGGGUGGUCGGAUCGUUUUCUAUGAUGCUGAUCAUGAUGGAGGAUUCUCACACCUCUUCUUCAAUCUUUAUGAUUUGAAGAGGGUGGAAGGGAUUUUGAGGGAGGAGACCCUUGGAGCUGAGUGUCAUGACUUUCUUGGUCGGCUCCUAAAUCAGAAUCUACAGUCCUCUAUCUUACUUGAGCUUUAAACUGCAAUAGACAUCUCCGAAACUAAGACUGGGGUUGAGGUUGACCCGCUUUCUUAGAGCAUGAGAGGGCAAUGUCCAUGAAAUGGCCCAGCGAAUGUUGACCUUGGACAGGGGCCUGCUUGAGCUGCUGCCUUGAAAGUUGAAGAACUUCAUCAAUCAGCAGGGCUUUUCCCCGAGCUCCUUUGUGGGCUCCAGAGGCAUAGCAAACCGGAUGAGGCUGGCUGAGGAUGGUACUCUUAGGGAAAACCUUCGAGUAUCAUGUCUUGAGAUGUCCGUCAGGAGGAGAAAGGGCGGAAGGAGAGGGGACCGGCUCUCGAUGUUGUCUGGGUCAGGAGAAAGCGGUGAUCUGGGAAGGUGGCACUUGUACGGCCCUUGAAGUAGCAUUCCGGGUGACUUGGGGGUCAGCCCUAGCUCGAACAGGUGGUCUAACCUCAGGAAGCUAAGAACUGCGAGCACAUGUAUGUAAGGGAACAGGUCGCAGCCUGCUCCUUACAGGGUGUGCAUGUGUGUGUUGAGUGGGAGGACGAAGGGAUCGUCUCUUAUGUGCUUGGGUUGGCACAGAAAUGGAGUUGGCCUGAGCAGUGGGAUCCAUAUGCAUGCGCACAGGUUUCGACCCAAAGAGGCCUGGUCCUGAACGCUUACUCAAGGUAGCACAAGGGCUGCCCCAAGGUGUGACUUGAGUGGAUGACCCACAAGCCUUAGUGUGUGAGCGUGCGGUGGAGGCCCCAUGGUCUCCUCCUCGAUGUGUCGCGUCUCUAAUCACAGAGACUCGUGGUGGUGCAGGAAUGUGGGGGGUGGCCUUAUGGCGACCCACAGGAGAUAUGGCAAUUUGCUUGCCUUUUGUAGAAAGGGACUGGGCAACCUUCCCUCAUACCUCGGCAAUACGAUCGACAAGUGACUUGUCGAUGACAUGGUGCAUGCUGUGAGUGACAGCAAAUGUGCUACCAAUGCAGGGUGCCUUGGUGAAAGUUCCACCAGGGCGAAGAGAUGGGGAAUUAGGGACUUCUAAGUCCCUCCUCACGUGUAUCCAGGUUAGAACCUGGGAGCUAGACACUGGGUUUUUGCUCAAAUAGAAGGUUGGGAAUGAAGUUCGAGGAACUUGUUCUCAGGGGAAUUUCGUGAAUGCGGGGAUCAAAAAAUCCCCGAUUCGGAUCAACAGGUUGAAGAACCCAGAAGCCAUAUGGUGUGUGAAACAGAAAAAGAAAGGAGAAACUAGCCAAACAAGGACGAUCCGACUAAAGGGUGGUAAGUCCCCAGUGGAGCUGCUAAGCAAGUUAGGUGCCUCAAUCUCACCCUCCGGAUCCGGAUUACCUGGCGGCGCGUGUCUCAGGUUUCAGGGGAACCCGGUACUUUUGAGAUCGCUCUCUCGGGAACCUCGCUCAGGAGCGAGGGAAAGUGUACCAACUGAUGAGAGAAGAAUUUAAGGUGGGUUUGGGACUUGCUUGGGCUAGCUUAUGUGGGCACCCUCUUAGAUAAUAAAGAAAGCUCCUCAGUCCUACAACUGGCUCGAAAUCGCCUCUCUUGGCCUGUAUUCUCCUGUUUCUGCAAUCACACACACAUGGUUAAUUUUUCAAGACAAAUGGGCUGAGUGACCCCACUUUGUCCUUGGGUGAAUGUACACAAGGCACGCACAUUCAAAGAGGAAAAGAGAAGAGAUUAUGAGAAGAGGAUUGGGAGAAGGAAAAAGAGAGAAGAAGAAAAAAAAGAGACACUUGACAAGGUAACUAGCCUAGCACAGUGGCUAGAUUGGCAUGAUGAUCGACCUGACGUGGUAGAAAGAUGGGCACGGUAACGAGACCAACACGACGGCAGUACUACUCGACGAUAGAACACUAACACCGAUCCCCUUGGCACAAUGGCUAGUUCAACGUGGCAGCAAGACGAGCGUGGUAACUCAGACUAGCACGAUGGCAAUACUGCAUGACGACGAAACUACCGUGACAGUGCCAGACUUGUCCCUUAGUCAAAUGAGAGAUGAAGGAGAGGAAGAAAGAGGGAGAUAAGGGAUGAGAAUAACAGAGAGAGAAAGACAGAGAGGAGAGAAGAGAGAGGAGAGAAAAGAAGAGAGAGAAAGGAAGAGAGAAAAGAAGAGAGGGAGGUUAAGGAAGAUGAAAAGGAGAAAUAGGAGAGAGAAAAGAAGACAGGGAAAGAAGAGAGAGAAAGAACAUGAACGGCGAUGGACUUCUGCAUCCAUAAUGGAGGAAAGAGGAAGAAGAAAGGAAAGUAGAGAGAGAAUAAAGGAAAGAGAGAUGGCAAAGGAAAGUGAGGAGAGAAGAAAGGAAAGAAGAGAUGGCAAAGGAAAGUGACGAGAGAAAUUAAGAAAGAGCUGGAGGAGAAAGAAGGAAAGAGAGAGAAAGAGAUUAGGAAAGAGGAAAGAGGAGAGGAAAGAGAUACGCACGGCACUACCACUGUCAUGGAUGUCAGGGACGACAGAAUAAGAACAGAGGUACACACGGUGUUGCCACCGCCAUGGGUGUCAGAGGAAGAAGAAAACAGAGAGAGAGAUCUAUCCACGGCGUUGCCAUCGCAGUGCAUGUUCAAACAGAGAGAGACAAAGAAGAAAGAAGGACAAGAGGAAGAAGAAGAAGAGAAAGAACGAGAUGCACACGGCAUUGCCAUCACCGUGUGUGUGAGACAGAGAAAACAGAGAGAAAAGAGAACACACACGGUGUUGCCAUCGCCGUGUGUAUGAGAGAUAGAGAAGAGAGAGGAAAAGGCACACUACGUUGCCAUCGUCGUGAGAUAGGGAAGAUAGAGAGAGAAGAGAAUGCACACGACAUUGUCAUCACUAUGUGUGAGAUAGAGAAAAAGAGAGAGAAGAAUGCACAGGACGUUACCAUCACCGUGAGAGAGAGAAAAUAGAGAGAUAAGAGAACGCCAUGAUCAGUCUUCAAGCACUCGACCUUCUUUUAGGUCUAUAUUUCGAUUAUAGUUUUUCAAUGCUUGAAUGUGUUAAAUACAUCUGUCUUUUCUUUAAUGCGUAAGUCCACACCUUCUUUGAUAAAUCAUCUAUGAAGGAAACAAAGUAUAGAUAUCCAUCUUUUGAGAUAACUGAUGUAGGGCCCCAUACAUCUAAAUGAAUACAGUCAAGAAUGCCUUCUCUUGUAUAUUCUGACGUGCGAAAUUGCACCCUAUACUGCUUAUCAUAGACAUGGUGCUCACAGAAGUCCAACUUGUACUUCUUCAUGCCAUUGAUCAAUUGACGUUGGCUAAGUUCUGUCAAACCUCUCUCACACAUGUGGCCCAACUAUAUAUGACACAACUGAGUCAAGUCAAAAUCACCAUCAUUAGAUAUGGAAACUUCUGCUCUAUCUGGGACAAUAUUAUCAAGCAGCACAUAUAAAUUUUGUCUGAGCUUCUUACCUUUCAUCACAGCCAGAGCACCUUUUAGAUUUUUUAGAACCCUUUUCCAACAAAUUUGCAGCCAUUAGAGUCUAAGUCACCUAAAGAGAAAAGAUUCUUCUUGAAAUUUGAAACAUGUCUAACAUCAAUCAAGGUUCUCACAACUCCAUUAUACACCUUGAUAGUAAUUUUUUGAAUACCAAUGGUCUUGUACACUGUAUUAUUCCUCAUCAAAACUUGUUCACAUCAAUGCUCAUGUAUGUGGUGAACCAAUCCCGAUGAGGGUAUAUAAAAUAGGAAUAUCCUGAAUCAAGAACCCAUGUAUCUUUAGAGUAGUCACAACUUGUUGAGACUGCCAACACAUUAUCUGUUCCACUUACCGAGCUUCCAUCACUUAUAUUGGUUGUUUCAGAAGUUUGUCUUUCUUUGAGUUUCUAACAAUUCUUCUUGAUAAGUCUAUUUUUCUUGUAGUAAUAACAAUGAAUAUUACAUUUUACUGAUCUGGAUUUGGAUCUAGACCAACCUUGAUUUUCAUGUCCAUUUUCAUUCUCUCAACAGAUCUCCCUCUAGCCACUAAACUAUCUGCAUGUGAUCAAGCAUUCCACUAUCUAUUCCUCAACUCAUUAGAGAGAAGAGUCAAAGUCACUUUUCUUUAAAGCAAUGUUGUGAUAAGAUACUGAUAGUAUGAUGGAGUGAGUACAAUAAAAUUAUAUGCUUAUCAUCAUCAUUAUUUUAACACCAACAUUCAAUAAUUCACAAAUAAUUUAUUAAAAUGAUUCAAGUACUCGUGGAUAUAUGUACCUUCAUUCAUCCGUAGCGUACACAAUUUUGGCAUAAAAAACAAUGAUGGACUUCGACAUAUAAAAAAUCUCAAGCUUCGACUAAAGACUUGAUGCAGAUUCCUCAUUGACGAUAUUAAAUAGCAGUUUGCUUGAUAACCACAAUCGAAUAGUGCUUAUAGCCCUCAGAUUUAAGUUAUCCGACAUCGAUUCUAGUUUCUUCAACUUUUCUUUCAUAGCUUUAUGUAAACCUUGUAGCACUAGCAAAUCUCAAAUAUUUAUUUGCCAAAUUCCAAAAUUAUUUUGCCAUCAAAUUUCCCCACCUCGUACUUGUCAUUCGAAAUCUUUAUUGUCAUACCGACAACCUCAAACCAGGCUCUAAUACCACUUAUUGUCCGUGGAACCUUUAAACCCAAUGGGUAGAUUUUUGACAAAUAAAGUACGAGAAAAAUAUACAAACAAGCAAAAAAAAUAAAGCAGGAAAGAAAUAACAGAAAAAAAAACAUCAGAAUUUACGUGUUUCUUCACAGAUAUAACUACAUUCAUGGGCGAAGACGAUCGAUGUUGUUUCCCUAAUCAAUGAGAGAAAACUACAAGAGGUUCAUACCUGAGAGAUCCAAAGAAGAAACUCAAUCUCCCACAAUGCAACUCUAUAGAAAACCACAAAAGUUUCCCUUCUAUUCCUUAUAUUUUCUCUCUCUAUUGUACAACUUAAAUAGAGAAGAAACCCCCAAAUAAGAUCCCAUGUGAUGACGCAUAGUUUUCUUAACUUUAUGAAAAAGUAACUUUAUCCUAAUCAACUAUGUGGAUUCUCAUAUCUAUUCUCACCCAAUUAGGACUAACCCAAAAGAUAAUCAUCUUACAUAAUGGUAACUAUCCAAAAAAAUAGGAAACUUACGAAAACCAAUCUCUUAAAAUUAAGGACUGAAGAAAAAUUUCCUCCCCUUUUUUUAAAUUUUUUUAUUUUUUAAAAAUACCAUUGGUUUGGACUCUCAAAAUCCAAACUGAAACUAUUAACAAAUCAAUUUGAAAAAUGAAAUUCCGAACUGCAACUUUUUUGGAUUUUAAAACUCUGAAAUAGUUCAUUUGAGUUUUGGGAGAAGGCAUCGAGUUAAGUAGGUGAGGAAAGGGGAGAAAUUUAAAAAUUCUAAACCAACACUAAAAUAAACCGAUUUGAAAUUUCAAAAUUCGAAUUGAUCAAUUCACAAAAAACAAGUUCGGAUUUUGGAUUUCCAGAUCAUGUUGGUCAUAGUUUUGGUUUAGAUUUUGAAAGUCCCAACCUAUGGCAUUUGUAAAAAAUGAAAAAAAGAUAUAGAAAAUGGGAACAUAAGCAUAAAUUAUAGCAUACGGGGAAUAGAUUUUUAAUUAAAAAAAGAUAUUAAUAUAAAUUUUCUAAAUAAAUACUAUUUCUUUUUCCCACAUUAAAUAAAAAUGUAUUAGCCAAUUUUUUAACUGUUGGGCUUUGUGUUUCAAUGGUGGGAGGCACCAGAGCAUGAAAUGACCUAAAAUGGGGUUCUACUCCCUCUCCAUCCAUCCAUUGAUUGAAGAGCGAUCACCCUCACGACCACAUAUGCGUGCAAUAAUCGCUCAAGAGGAUUAUACGGUGAUGUAGAAUUACAGACCAUGUCAAAGGAAAAGUAUACUGCCUUUCGAAUCCAUGUAUGAUCACGAUGCUUUUAACCAGUGUUUCAAAACUUAGAUCAGUGGUGCGUAUUGUUCACCCAAAUAUCUGUGUCAGAUGAUCAGCGAUCAGCAACCGAGCCGGAAACCAUACCACCCUAGCACCAAUUAGAUCGACCGCUUCCUAUCUGAAUCGACUCAUCAGGUUUAAUAUGAUGUCCAAAUCAAUCAUUUUAGAUGUGCUUCAUGAGUUUGCUUCAGUUUGGUCUGAAAAUUGAAGCAAUUCGGUGCUUCGGUUGAUUCGGGAAAGACUUCGGGUUCUUUUUAAAUCAAAUUAUAUAUAUAUAUAUAUAUAUAUAUAUGUUUAUAAAAAAAUUUAAAAAUUAAAAAAAUUAAUAAUAAAUAAAUUUGUUACUAUGUUCUAACUAUUACCAUUGACAAACUAUAAUCACUAAAACAAUCCAGAAAAUAAAAAAUUAAAUAUGGUUAUAAUAUGCGAAAAACAAAAGAUGCUAAUAAACUAAACAAUGGCAAUGGAAAAAUAUUUGAUAAUUCUUCAUGAGUGAGUUUAUUAACACCCAUUUGACGACAAUGGCUUGAUGAGAUCGAUCCAUUUGACAACAUCCAUUUAUAAAAUGCAUAAAAAAAAUAGAUAUUAAAAAACUCAAAGAGUGGUAAUGAAAAAUAUUUGAUAAUUCUUCAUGAGUUGAGCUUAUUAACAUCCAUUUGACAUCAAUGGCUUGUUGAGAUAAAUCUAUUUGACAAUCUUUAUUUAUAAUAUGCAAAAAAAAAAUCAAAAAAAGUGAAUGUUAAUAAACCCAAUAAUGGUGAUGAAAAAAGAUGAUAAUUAUCCAUGAGUUAAGUUUAUUAAUAUCCAUUUGACAAUAGUGGCUUGAUGAGAUCAAUCCAUUUAUAAUAUAAAAUCAAGCAAUUGUACAAGAUGCACAAAUUUAAUUUUAAUUUGUGCAGAUUAAUGCAUAUGAAAUUUGGUUGCUACAAAAUUUUAAUUUUAUUUUUAUUUUUAUUUUUGUUGAUUUUUCUUUUAUUAUAAUUUUUGUUGAAUUUAUAUUUGGAGAUGUGAUAGAUAUUUGGGUUACUUUUUAGGAAUUAUAUUUAUUUUAGAAAUUAGGGUUACAUUUUGGUUUUUUAAAAAAUAUUCUUUUGAUUUUUUUUUCUAUAAUUGUAUCUUGUAUUUUUUUUUUUUUUUUACGAGGGUUAAUUUCUUAGAGAUAAGAUUAGUCUAGGGUUCUUUGGGUUAGUUUGAUAAGUCAUUUUUUUAUGAGUCUAUUUGUUUUUCUUUUGAAGGAUGAGUCUUUUUCACCUUGGUCUGAUGAGUCCAUUUAUAUUUAAGAUGUGUUGGUUCAAAAAGGAAGUAUUUUAUAAUUUUAGGAAGUUUAAACAUUCUCUUAGUAGGUCCCUAUUAUAAUUUUAGGAAGUUUAAACAUUCCCUUAGUAGGUCCCUCCUUUUACUUUUGGGUUGAGUUGGUUUUGUGUUUGACUUUAGAAGCUUGGCCUAGGAAGAUAAAGAUUCUUUUUAGAAAGAUAAGGACAGGAGGUGUGAAAAAUAAUGAUAAAAGGGGAAUGGACGUUAUACUGUAAUGGUGGCUUCUUUUUUUCAUGGAAUGAAAUAAGAUUACUUUAUAAAAAGAAAGAGGGAGCAUUUUUGUGGGUUUUUAUUUUUUGGGUUUUGGUGAUGCGCGGUGGAGGACUCAGACUGCUGCAUCUGUACUUUCUUUUUGCAGAUCUCUUAUCAGGUUUUUAUUUAUCUCUUUAAAAUGCAGGUAAUUUGCCGAUUAUUGCCAGUUGUAAUUUUCAAUUAUGUCAAUAAUUAAAUAAAAAAUAAAAUUAAAAUUAAAAUCAACAAAAAUAAAAUUAAAAUUUUGUGGCAACCAAAUCUUCAUCUGUAUUGUUGAUUUUACUUAUAGAGAUGUGGGUAGAUUUUUGAGUUGCCUUUUAAUAAUUAUAUUUUUUUUAGGAGUUAGGGUUACAUUUUUGUUUUUUUUGGAAAAUCUUCUUUUGUUAUUUUUUAUGUUAUGGUAUCUUAUAUUAUAAUUUUUUUAUUAGGGUUAAUUUGUUAGAGAUAAGAUUAGUCUAGGGUUCUUUGGGUUAGUUUGAUAAGUCCUUUUUUUUAUGAGUCCAUUUGUUUUUCUUUUGGAGGAUGAGUUUGUUUCACCUUGGUUCCAUUUAUAUUCAAGAUGUGUUGGUUCAAAAAGGAGUUAUCUUUUUAUUUUUAGGAAGUUUAAACAUUCUCUUUGUGGGUCCCUAUUUUUAAUUUGGGUUGAGUUGUUUUUAGGUAAGUUUGACUUCUUAGAAGCUUGACCUUAGAAGAUAAAUAAUCUUUGUAGAAAGAUAAGGACAAGAGGUGAGAGAUACAAUGAUAAAAAGGGGAUAGACGUAUAAUGGUGCCUUUUUUUAUGGACUGGAUUAAGGUUAUUUUGUAAAGAGAGUGUCUCAUUUUUGUUGGUUUUUCUUUUAUCCCAAGUCUGCACUUUCUUCUUGUAGAUCUCUUAACAGUUUUUUAUUUCUCUUUCUAAAACAUGGUUAUUUUCCUGGUUAUUGCCAAUUGAAAAUUUUCAACUGUGUCAAGAAUAAUAAAUAAAUUAAAAUUUAAAUAAAACCAACAAAAUUAAAAUUAAAAUUUUCUAGCAAACAGAUCUUCAUUUGCAUUGUUGAUUUUACUUUUAAAGAUGUUGAUAGAUUUUUGGGUUAAUUUUUAAUAAUUACAUUUAUUGUAGGAGUUAGGGUUACAUUUUGUUUUUUUUUUUGGAAAAUCUUCUUUUGUAUUUUUUUUUGUUACGUUAUCUUGUAUUUUUUAUUUUUAUUUUUAUUAGAGUUAAUUUUUUAGAGAUAAUCAAGACUUCUUUGGGUUAGUUUGAUAAGUAUUGGUUUUAUGAGUCCAUUUGUUUUUCUUUUGGAGGAUGAGUCUGUUCCACCUUGGUUUGAUGAGUCCAUUUACAUUUAAGGGGUGUUGGUUCAAAAAGGAUUUAUCUUAUUGUUUUUAGGAAGUUUAAACAUUCUCUAGAUAGGUCAGUACUUUUAGUUUUGGGUUGAGUUCCGUUCAGGCAAGUUUGAGUCAUUAGAAGCUUGGCCUUGAUACGAUUCUUUUUAGAAAGAUAAGGAUAGGUGUUUUGAGGUAUUUUUUAACACUUGAAUCCUCGAGGCGAAUAAGAGGAAGCCAAUCGCGACCUAGGCCGGCAGGUACCAAAAUGUCAGUAGGUCACGGAAGCACUAUUGAAAUAAACCCUAAUCUGGAGCACACUCUUGAAAAAGAAUAUAUUGGUCCUAAAAAGCAUGUGGAGGUAUCCCAUGACUCCCUAAGAAUACCCGCUAAGUUUCGUCGCGAUCUGACGACGUUAAGGUGGAUCAGAGACAAAAUCAAUUUUCAGAUUCAGCCUCUAACGUGCCAAAAAUGCAUCUUACAACUACAGCGCUAUCACUGGAGCUUCAGAUAAACACCAAACCACUUUUGUUGGGUUCAGAACCCCUAGAUAUCAAAUUUCUCUCUCUCCUUGUUCGUUCUCUUCUCCUCUCUCUUUCUCUUUCUUUCUUUUUCUCUCUCUUCUCUCCUCUCUCUCCCUCUUUCUUUCCCUCAUGGUCAAACUAGACCGGUGGCUAAGCCGUUGGCCUACCCUCUCUUCUCCCUUUCUCUCCUUCCUCCCCUUGGUUUCUCUCUCCUCUCUUCUCUCUUUCUCUCUCCCCUUGUUUUUUCUCUCUCCCCUUGUUCUUUCUCUUCUUCUCCUCUCUCUUUCGGUCCCUCUCUCUUUCUCCUCCCUUCUCUUUCUUUCUCUCUCUCUUUCUUCUCUCUCUCUUUCUUCUCUCUCUCCUCUCUCUCUCUCUCUCUCUCUCUCUCUCUCUCUCUCUCUCUACUCUACUACUACUACGUACGUACGUACGUACGUACGUCGUCGUCGUCUCUCUCUCUCUCUCUCUCUCUCUCUCUCUCUCUCUCUCUCUCUCUCUCUCUCUCUCUCUCUCUCUCUCUCUCUCUCUCUCUACACGUACGUACGUCGUACGUCGUCGACGUACCUCCUCUCUCUCUCUCUCUCUCUCUCUCUCUCUCUCUCUCUCUCUCUCUCUNNNNNNNNNNNNNNNNNNNNUCUCUCUUCUCUCCUCUCUCUCCUCUUCUUUCCUCAUGGUCAACUAGACCGUGGCUAGCCGUUGCUACCUCUCUCUCCUUCUCUCUUCCUCCCUUCGUUCUCUCUCUCUCUUCUCUCUUCUCUCUCCCUUGUUUUUCUCUCUCCCUUGUUCUUUCUCUUCUUCUCCUCUCUCUUCGGUCCUCUCUCUUCUCCUCCCUUCUCUUUCUUUCUCUCUCUCUUUCUUCUCUCUCUCUUUCUUCUCUCUCUCCCUCUCUCUCUUCCUCCUUUCUUCUCUCCUUUCUCUCUAUCAUUCGCUCUCACAAUCACCUAGACUAGUGGCUAAGCCGUCGGUCUGCUCUCUCUCUCCUUCUCUCUCUCCUUGUUCUCUCUUCUCCUCUCUUUUUCUCUCUCUUUCUUCCUCACUUCUCUCCCCUCUCUCCCUCUUUCUUUCUCUCACAGUCAAACAGGACCGGCGGUUAAGCUGUCAACCCACCCUCUCUUCUCUCUUUCUAUCUUUCUCUCCUUCCUCUCCUUUCUCUCGUACUCUCUCUCCUCUCUCUUUUCUCAUUCUGACUUUAUUUCUUCCCUUUUCUCUCUCUCCCCUUUUCUUUCUCUUCUUCACCUCUUUUUUUCUCUCCCUCUCUUUCUCCUCUAUUCUCUUUCUCCCUCUCUUCCUCUUCUCUUUUCUCUAUUUCUUCUCUUUCCCUCUCUCUCCUCCUUUCUUCUCUCCUCUCUCUCCUUCUCUCCCACAGUCAAUUGGACCAACGGUUAAGCCGUCGGUUCGCUCUCUCUUCCCUCCUCUCUCUCUCUCUUUGUUUUUUGUCUUCUCCUCUCUUUCUUUCUCUUUUUUCUCUCUUCUCUUCUCUUUCCUUUCUCCAUCUUUCUUUCUCUCACGGUUAAACUGAACCAAUGGUUAAGCUGUCGGCCCACCCUCUCUUCUCCCUUUUUUCAUUUCUCUCCCUCCUCCCCUUUUUCUCUCUCCUCUCUUUUCUCUUUCUCUCUCUAUUUCUUCCCUUCUCUCUCCCCUUGUUCUUUCUUUUCUUCUCCUCUCUUUCUCUCGCUCUCUCUUUCUCCUCCCUUCUCUUUCUUCUUCUCUCUCUCUUCUCUUCUCUCCCUCUCUUUCUUCUCUCUCUCUUUCUCUUCUCUCUCUUCUUCUCUCUNNNNNNNNNNNNNNNNNNNNNNNNNNNNNNNNNNNNNNNNNNNNNNNNNNNNNNNNNNNNNNNNNNNNNNNNNNNNNNNNNNNNNNNNNNNNNNNNNNNNNNNNNNNNNNNNNNNNNNNNNNNNNNNNNNNNNNNNNNNNNNNNNNNNNNNNNNNNNNNNNNNNNNNNNNNNNNNNNNNNNNNNNNNNNNNNNNNNNNNNNNNNNNNNNNNNNNNNNNNNNNNNNNNNNNNNNNNNNNNNNNNNNNNNNNNNNNNNNNNNNNNNNNNNNNNNNNNNNNNNNNNNNNNNNNNNNNNNNNNNNNNNNNNNNNNNNNNNNNNNNNNNNNNNNNNNNNNNNNNNNNNNNNNNNNNNNNNNNNNNNNNNNNNNNNNNNNNNNNNNNNNNNNNNNNNNNNNNNNNNNNNNNNNNNNNNNNNNNNNNNNNNNNNNNNNNNNNNNNNNNNNNNNNNNNNNNNNNNNNNNNNNNNNNNNNNNNNNNNNNNNNNNNNNNNNNNNNNNNNNNNNNNNNNNNNNNNNNNNNNNNNNNNNNNNNNNNNNNNNNNNNNNNNNNNNNNNNNNNNNNNNNNNNNNNNNNNNNNNNNNNNNNNNNNNNNNNNNNNNNNNNNNNNNNNNNNNNNNNNNNNNNNNNNNNNNNNNNNNNNNNNNNNNNNNNNNNNNNNNNNNNNNNNNNNNNNNNNNNNNNNNNNNNNNNNNNNNNNNNNNNNNNNNNNNNNNNNNNNNNNNNNNNNNNNNNNNNNNNNNNNNNNNNUCUCCUCCCUUCNCUUUCUUCUUCUCUCUCUCUUUCUCUUUCUCUCCCCUCUCUUUUCUUCUCUCUCUCUUUUCUCUUCUCUUCUCUUCUUCUCUCUCUUCUCUUCUCUCCUCUCUUCUUUCUCUCUCUUUCUCUUCUUCCUUCUUCUCUCCUCUUUUCUCACUUUCUCUCAUUCUCUCUCCUCUCUCUUUCUCUUCCUUUCUCUUUCUCCCCCUUCUCUUUCUUCCUCUCUCUUCUCUUCUCUUCCUCUCUUUCUCUUAUCUUCUCUCCCUCUUUUUUCUCCCUCUUCCUCCUUUCUUCUCACUUUCUCUCUUUCUUCUCUCCUUCUCUCUCCUCUCUCUUUCUCUCCCUUCUCUUUUCCCUCUCUCUCGUCUCUUCUCUCUAUCUCUUUUUUCUCUCUCUCGUCUCUUCUCUCCCUCUCUUUCUUCUCUCUCGCUCUCUCUCCCUCUCUCUCUUCCUCCUUUCUUUUAUCAUCUUUCUCCCACUUUCUCCCUUUGUUCACUCCUCUCUCGUUCUCUCCCUCUCUCUUUUUCCUCCCUUCUCUUUCUUCUUCUCUCUCUCUUCUCUUCUUUCUCUCUCCCUACUCUUUUCCGCCUUCUCCUUCUCUUCUCUCUUCGCCUUUUUUUCUACUUUACUUGUUCUCGUUUUACCUUCCACCUCAAACACUCUAAUAUACUCACUCAUUUGUUUAUUCAUAAACAAUAUCGCAUCACCUCAUUUCUUCUUUUUAUUUACCCCUCUACCAGGCAAGUCAGGGUCUUUCGACCCACUUGUCUGACAACCUUACGUGUGUGUGUUUACAAGUCGUAGAGUGCAAGUAAGGAGGCUAAAGCCGAACCAGCCUCAGGCUAGUCGUGAUCUAAGAGGGCACCUAAGCGAAAACCGCUUGCGCGUGUCACGGACCUACCAUGAGGUCAGUCCCGCCUCACACCACACAAUCCUCUCUCACUAGUUGGUACCUGCCCGCAUGCACGUCGCGGUCCCUAGAGAGUGAUCUCGAGCUGGACCCAAUUUUGUGUCCCCGCGCAGUCAUAUGACCCGACAAGAACGAGGCCUAACCAAUAGGAGGUGAGAGAAAUAAUGAUAAAAGGGGGAUGGACAUCUCAUUGUAAUAGUGGUUUGUUUUGUUUUUUUUUUUUUUUUUUUUAUGGAAUGAAAUAAGUUUAUUUUUAGAGAGAGAGAUAGAAAGAGAGCCCUUUUUGUAGCUUUUCUUUUCUGUGAUUUGGUGGUGCGUGGUGGAGGACUCAAACUUCCACAUCUAUGAUUUCUUCUUACAGAUCUCUUCUCAGUGUUUUAUCUCUCUCUAAGACAUGGUUAUUUUUCUCUCUGUUGGCGGCCUAAUAUUUUCAACUUUGUUAAGUGGUACCAGAGCAUCAAUCGAUUCUUGUAGAUCAUGGUGUUCAUCAAUAGGCAUCAUGGCUCGUGAAGAUAGUCUACGGCGAAGUACUGGGAAUGAGUCAACACAGCAAGAGCGAGUCCUUAAAGAUAUCGAGAUAAAAAAUUUCAAAAGUCAAGUAGAGAAGCUGACCCAACACUUGGCAUAAAAUCCAGCCCCGACACACUAUGAUGACGGUAGUGAGUCAAAUGUUAUUUUCGAUAACCUGUUUUAUGCACACUCUCUACAUCAGUAGCCUCAUGUUGGGGAGAGUAGAACGUAUGAUUUCAACAGCAAAGUUGAUCUACCUAAGUUUGACGAAGAACCAAUUGAUGGUGAAGAAAAAAUGAGUUUGGAUCUUCAAUUGGAAUCAUCAUUCCUUGAUGUCAUGUGUGACCUUAUUUUAUGAAAAGCAAAAUGAAAAGAAAGAAAUUAGCCUUGAGGCAGCAAUGAUGACUUUCUCAUCAAUGGAGAGGUGGAUAAACAAGAUAUCAAUCCAAACCCAUUUGAGAUUGAAUCUUUGCAGAUAUUUGACGAAGAAAAAGAUAAAGGCCACCAAGGAGAAUCACUAAGUGAAACUGGUUCAACCAUUGAAUAUGUUGUGUGUCUUCGAGGAUGAGCCUAAGCAGUUUCAACAAGUUUAUGUGGCUGAACAGACUUUAUCAACAUACAAUGACCUUUUCCUCGAUGGUUUCACAUUUUUAAUGCACAAUUGUUGCGUUAUGAUUAAUGCAAUAACCCUUAGGUCCUAAGAUCGUGCUUACAAUAUUGGAGUCAAAGAAGGUUGCAAGACUAAUACAAAUUUUAUCGUAGCAUAUUUUAUAAUUUGAUGACGAGUUCUCUCCAACAAGAGGAGAAUGAUGCAUAUUAAGAUCUGGUUGCUACGAAAUUUUAUUUUUAUUUUUAUUUUUUUUUAUUUUUGUUGAUAUUAUUUUUAGUGAUGUGGGAAGAUUUUUGGUUAUUUUUUUAGAAUUAUAUUUAUUUUAGAAGUUAAGGUUACAUUUUAUUUUCUUGGAAAAACUUCUUCAUAUAUAUAUAUAGCAAUGAUACUAUGAGACCCUCUCACACCCAUGUGAGUAAGACCCCAAAGGAUCACCGUUAAAUUUUGACACAGAUCUCUAGAAAAGUUAUCAAUAAACCUAUUCACCUAAGUUCCACAUCCAUAUCAUAACUUUUUUAGAAAUCUGUGUCAAAAUUUAAUGAUGAUCCUUUGGAGUCCUACUCACAUGGGUGUAAGAGGGUAUCAUAGUGUCAUUACNNNNNNNNNNNNNNNNNNNNAUAUAUUGUUAUGGUAUCUAGAAUUUUUAUUUCUAGUUUUAUUAGGGUUAAUUUGUUAGAGAUAAGACUAGUUUAGGAUUCUUUGGUUAGUUUGAUAAGUGUUUUAUUUAUGAGUCUAUUUGUUUUUUCUUUUGGAGGAUGAGUCAUUUUCACCUUGGUUUGACGAAUCCAUUUAUAUUUAAGAUUUUCACCUUGGUUUGAUGAAUCCAUUUAUAUUUAAGAGGUGUUCGUUCAAAAAGGAGUUAUCUUUUUUUCUUUUAGGUUUGGUUGGUUCAUACUUUUAAUUUUGGGUUAAGCUGUGUAGAAAGAUAAGGAUUGGAGGUGAGAAAACAAUGAUAAAAGGGGAUGGACAUCCAAUUGAAAUGACAGUUAUUUUUUUUGUAGAAUGAAAUAAGCUUAUUUUGGAGAGAGGGAGAGAGAGGAGUGGGUGUUUUUUUUUUGUGAUCUGGUGGUGUGUGGUAGAGGACUCAGACUCCCAUGUAUGUGUUUUCUUUUUGAAGAUCUCUUCUCUGUUUUUUAUUUCUCUCUAAAAUAUGGCUAUUUUGUCAGUUAUUGGCGAUCGAAAACUUUCAAUUGCAUAGCAUAUCAAUUUACAGUAAUUAUUAGUGGUUAAAAAACCUAGUGAGAAGACCAAAAUUUGGGCAUAGUGUGGGAAAACCCAAAAUUUAUAAAAUUCGUAAUUGGGAAAGAGAUGUAAGAAUUUGGUAUCUUUCUCUAUUGAUAUUGAGCUAUAUAUAACAAUAUACAGCUAGUAUAAAAAUAUACAACAAUAUCCCUUGAGUGUGGGGAUGAUGAAUAAUAAAUCUCUACAAACUAGAUGGUGGCCAAGUGAAUAUCUACCAACUAGGAAAGUAAAUAUGACCAAAUCAAUCUCUACAAACUAGAAAAGUCCUAAUGAAUCACUAUAAUUAGUAAAGUGAGCUAUACAAUCCUCAAUACUCCCCCUCAAGAUGGAUUGUGGAGGAACGAGGCACCCAGCUUGCGCAAUAAAGAAUGAAAUUGGUCCCGUCCAAGGGCCUCGGUGAAAAUAUCUGCAAGUUGAUGUUUGUUAGAGAGAUAAGAUGUUUUGAGAAGACCAUUUUGAAUUUUCUCUCGAACAAGGUGGCAGUCUAACUCUAUAUGUUUCGUCCUUUCAUGAAAGAAGGGAUUUGCUACAAUGUGUAGUGCUGCUUGGUUGUCACAAUAGAGGAGCAUGGGUUGCGAGUGUCGUAUACCUAGGUCAAGAAGAAGAUACUUGAGCCAAUUGAGCUCACAAGCAGCGGUAGCCAUGAAACGAUAUUUUGCUUCUAUAGAAGAACGUGAUAUGAUCUUUUGCUUCUUAGUGCACAUUAGAUAGGACUGUUGCUAAGAAAGUUACAUAUCCAGUGGUGAAAUAUCGGGUCAUCGAACAACUUGCCCAAUCGGAAUCACAAAACGUGGAUAGUUGCAGGUUGUUGUUAGAUGAAAGUAAAAUUCCUUGUGUGGGUAUAUGUUUUAAAUAAUGUAAAAUACGAUGAGCUGCUUCAAGAUGAGGUGUUUGUGGUUUGUGCAUGAACUGGCUCAAGAUGUGCACAACAUAAGUAAUGUCAGGCCAUGUAAUAGUAAAGUAUAUGAGUCGCCCCACCAGCCGACCAUAUUGGCUUGCAACCAAGGAAGCCAGUUUCAGACAAAAUGUCCAAGGCGUAUUUCCUCUAAGUGAGAAGGAUCCCUCAAGUUGAUAGUGCAACCUCAAUACCAAAAAAGUAUUUUAGCAAUCCAAGAUCUUUGAGACGAAACCGAGAUUGCAUAAAUACUUUCAAUGAGGAAAUGGCAUUGACAUCAUUGCUAGUGACAAUCACAUCAUCAACAUAAGCUAGAAUAGGUGUAAAAGAGUGAUCGACAUUGGAUGCGAACAGAGAAUUGUCCCCAAUGGAUUGUUUGAAUCUGAUAUCAUGGAGAGCUUGGGAAAAUUUGUCAAAUCAAUUUCGAAAGGCAUGUUUAAGGCCAUAUAGAGACUUCUGCAAUCAGCAAACUAGAUGCUCCCUCUUACAAGGAUGACCCUGUGGAAGUUUCAUGUAUACUUCAUCAUGCAAAUCCCUAUGCAAAAAUACAUUAUUGACAUCUAAUUGAUGCAAUUUCUAGCCCUUUACAGAGCCAUCUCAUAAUAACUAACUUUGCUACAGGAGUGAAUGUCUCAUGAUAAUCCAGCCCUUCCAUUUGGGUAAGCCCUUCGCGACAAGACGUGCUUUGUAGUGAUCGAUAGUGACGUCGGCCUUGUACAUAAUAUUGUACACCCAUUUACAGCCAAUGGGAUGUUUGUCGGCGGUAAGAAUUGAGCAAUCCAAGUGUUGUUGAGAUCAAGAGCCUUAAACUCAGCUUUCACGACAUCACGCUAGUGAGAGUGUUUGACAGUUUGUGCAUAACCUUGUGGUUCAUUAUUAAAACAAAUGUUUGUCAAAGAAACACGGUGAGAUGAAGAAAAGUUGGAAUCCAAAAUAAAAUGGGAGAUGGAAUAGGGUUUACCAGGAGAAAUAGUGCCUGAUGGAUGUUGUUUGAGUGAAGCCGUAUUGGUGAGAGACGAUUGUGUGUGAGCUUGGGAGCACAUGUAAUCAUUAAGAUGAGUUGGACACCAAAUGACACAUUUCGAACGACACACGGGGGUAAGCACAAGAAUGUGUGUAGCAGGUAUCAUGGUUGCAACUGGCAGCGAUGAAACUGGAAUAGGUGACUCAUGAGAAGGUGGCACCUCAAUAUCAGGAGUGGGUAGGUUUAAAGAUGGAACUUCAAAAGUGUCAUUGUCCACAACAGGCAUGGGAAAAACUGUGGGAAUGGUCUCAGGUUCCAUAUUCUUUUCUUGAAAAGGGAACACAUUUGCAUGAAUAUCACAUCUAGACUAGUGAAAAUUGUCUCCUUUUGCAAUUCAAAGACACAGUAGCCUUUCUAAUUAUGAGGAUAUCCAACAAAAACACAUUGCUUAGACCUAUGAUCAAAUGUGUGUUUAUGAAUAUCACUAUUAUGAGCAUAACAGAGGCACCCAAAAACAUGUAAGUGUUCAUAAGAUGGCUAAGUUUUAAACAAUACUUCAUAUGGAGAUUGCGAGACAAUAUGGGUGUGGGAAUUUGGUGAAUUUUGUUUAUCAAAAAACAUUCACCCCAAAAUUUAAUGGGAAGAUGGGCCUGAAAGCGCAAAGCACAUGCCACUUUAAGUAAGUGAUGGUGUUUGCGCUCAAUAAUGCCAUUCUGUUGGGGUAUAUGUAUGCAAGUUUGCUAGUGGAGGAUCCAACAUUCUUGAAAAAGCGUGAGACAAGAACUCAGCUCCAUUGUCAGUUCGAAUUUGUUGAAUACAACAAUUGAACUGGGUUUGUACCAUUUGCAAAAAAAAGCUUUAAAAAAUGGGAAGUAUCAGAUUUGAACCUCAUCAAGUAAACCCAUGUGCAUCGUGAACAGUUGUCUACAAUAGUCAAGAAAUAAUGUGCUCCUAAGUGGGAUGGAGUGCAGUAUCCAUCUCAUAUAUCACAGUGGAUUAAGUUAAAGUGGUCUUUAGAUUUAUUCAAACUAGAAGGAAAAGGAACUCUAGUUUGUUUUGCCCAAGUACAUGCUUUACAAAAAGAAAUAGAACAUAGAGAUAAGUUUAAAUUUGUAAAAUGCACACUACACAUUCAGUGCAGAGAAGGAUGCCCCAGCCUCUUAUACCAUAAUGCAGCAAAAUGACUCUGAAUAGUAGGCAAGGCAGUGAGAUUAUUAGGGAUACCAGAAACGAAGUGAUAUAAACCGUCUCGCACCUCACCAGCUCCAAUCAGCUUCCUCGUGCGCAGGUCCUAAAAGACACAAAAGUAAUAAAAAAAAAAAUAGCAGCACAAUUCAUGGAACUAGUUAAUUUGCUUACUAAGAGAAGAUUGUAAUUGAAAGUUGGAACGCAAAAAACAUUAUCUGGGCUAAUAGUUGGACUCAAGUUGGAUUGACCUACAUGAGUAAUGGAAGUAGUACUACCAUUAGGCAUACGAACAAGUUUACCAUUAUGAUUUGAAACACAAGUUGAUAGCCUAGAAGUGGAACAAGUAAAGUGGUUAGCUACUCCAAAAUCAAUGAUCUAUGAGUCCUCAUUGUUUUUUGGAAUGAAGAGACAAACUCCAUACCUACAAAGUAGGUUGGAUUUCGACAUUCAGUAUGGACAUCAACUGUCAAUAUUGGCUUGGUGUUAAGGAAAGAAAGUUCUUUUUGGAUGAACCCGGGACAGCUGCACCAUUGCUUAUGAACUCUACGCCUGAACUAGUGUUGAUGUUAUGCUGGCCAUGGUUAGCUGAUUGCACGAGUGAGUUGUGAGCAUGUGGUUGAUCCUUAGCCUUGGGAUGUCUAGCAGGAUACCCCACUAAUUGGUAACACUUUGCUUUGAUGUGGCCUUCGCGAUCAUAAUGCUCACAAAAUAGACGCAACUUCUUUCCUCUAUAGCGCCAUCUCUUCUCCAAAUUUUAAUGAGCUGCAAGAGCAGAUGCUUCUCCUUACAAGGGUUGACAAAUUUGCAAACCCCUUUUUGUUGUUCUUAUUGCGGGACUAUGGAGUAAACUUUGUUGAUAUUAGGAAGAGGGUCCAUAGCCAAGAUUUGACUACGAACAAUCUCAAAAAAAUCACUCAGUCCUCAUUAGGAACUGGCACACUCGUUCAAUUUGUUGUUGGGCAUAGUUCUCCUUAAAUGAUCCACAAGUGCACACAGGAACUUUCACAUACGAGGCUAGUUCGUCCCAUAUGGCCUCAUAGAAGUAAAGUAAGAGGCCACUAAGGACUGCCAUUGUUGGAUUGUAGAGAGCUUCCUCUUGAGAAUAUAGAUCUUUGGACCACUUCCUUGAGAAACCUGUCGUCGAGAUCUAUUCAAAUUUCAUAUGCAGUGUCCACAUAUGCAACACUAUCUACAAGAUCUUUGGAUUGUACAUUGAGUAACCACGAAACCACCAUGUGGUUGCAUCUCUCCCAAGUCUUAACAUCAGUAAGUAGUUUAGAUGGUUUGGAAAAUGAACCAUCCACAAAGCACAAUUUAUAUUUUGCUCCAAGAACCACAGUAAUAGCUCUUCUCCACGUUUUGUAGUUGUCUCCAAAAAGAGGUUUGGAGACAAAUAUAACUCCAGUUUUGUCAGAGUGAUGGAGAUAAUAAGGAGAAGAGAAAUCAAAAGCAAAAGCAUUGCUACUUUCAAGUGAAAACUGAGACUCGAUACCUGAUUGCGAGUUUGCAUCGUUUCCAUUGUGUCAAGGCUUGAAAGUGAAGAAGAGAUAUGACAAACAGGUUUAUUGUGGACUUUACUGCUCGGAUACCAUGUAAAAUUCGUAUUUGGGAAAGAGAUGUGAGAAUUUGGUAUCUUUCUCUAUUGAUAUUGAGCUAUAUAUAAUAAUAUACCGCUGGUAUAAAAAUAUACAGCAAUAUCUCUUGAUUGUGGGGAUGAUGAAUAAUAAAUCUCUAUAAACUAGAAUGUUACAAAUAUGGCCAAGUGAAUCUUUACCAACUAAGAAAGUACCUCUGGCUAAAUCAAUCUCUACAAACUAGAAAAUUUCAAGUGAAUCUCUACAAUUAAGAAAGGGAGUUAUACAAUCCUCAAUAAAAUUAGAGCACCUUUUGGGUCUUUGAAAGCCCAAAAUUAGGGUACCGUUUGGAUCUUCAAAAAAACCCAAAAUUAGGGCAUAGUUGCACAUGACUUAGGAGUUAGAAAGAGAGAGAGGGUGAGUACCUAUAAUUUCCUGCAGGGCUGAGAAGACCUUGGCUCGAAGGUGGCGAGUGCAUACGAUAAAAGUGUAAAACUCUAUAAGACGUUUUAAUUUUGAACUUGAAGUUAAAACCUUUUAGUUUUUUACCAUAUAAGAGAAAAAAAUAUAUCAUUUUUCCCCUUGGGAGAGAAAGAAUUUCAUUUUUCCCCUUGAGAGAGGAAAAAUUUCAUUUUUCCCCUUGAGAGAGAAAAAUUUUCAUUUUUGACCUCGAAGUCUUUAGCUGAAACGCUAUUUUUCGGCCGAAACAAGCUGAAGUGAGCCGAAUUUAGCCAAAAUGUUUUUUUAUUCAUUUCGCAUCAGUUCCAAGUGAAAAAUCAAAAGCUUUGGUUCUCCAGCCGAAACAAAGUACAAGUGAAAAAUCAAAAGCUUUGGCUCCGGCCAAGCAAAGUACAAGUGAAAAAUCAAAAGCUUUGGCUCUCCGGCCGAAACAAAGUACAAGUGAAAAAUCAAAAGAUUUGGCUCUCGGCCUAAACAAAGUACAUUUGAUACACUGUUUGUAAAAUCGAACCGAAACGGUAACAGAUCAAGGGGUUGGGAGCGGUUGGAAUCGGAACAAGACUAAUCGGGGCGGUUAACUGGAUUAACUAGUCAAGUAGAUUUUUAUAAAUUAAAAAAAAAAAAUAGGUCAAAAACCUCCAAAAAAUUGAAAAAAAAAAAAAACUUAGAUUAAGUGUAUACUAUCAUAUUACAUACAUUUAUCUUAUAAAAAAAAUUGAAACAACUUUUUAUAUAAAUUAAUAUUUGAAUACUAUGGAGAUAUGCAAGACAAUUUAUAAUUUGACAUUAUUUCAAUUAAUGAUGUUACAAAGUCCAAAUAACAAUGGCUACUAGUAAUGAGAGUGGCAAAGGAGAUCAUGGUACACAUUUCUUUAUUACAAAAAUUGCACCGAACUCGUCUCUUAUCACUCACUUUUAUGCCAUACUGCCACGUCAUAUCCCCCCUCCUCAUCUUAUUAUUUUCUUGAACAUAAAAUUUCAUUAAAAAAUUUAUUUGAGACAUUUUUGCCUCAAUGUUUUACCCAAGCAAGGUGCUCUUUGCAUUUUCGAUGACCCCAAAAUGAAAUAAAGCAUUACAAAUUUAUCCAUCCCUCUGUGCAUAAUGCAACUCAAGGUAAUUAAGCAUACAAGCAAACACACAAUAAAUAAAUAAAUAAAUGAAGUACAAACAAAAUUUUGUUUUUUAAAUUAAAAUAUUUGCAACAAAGAUUUAUAUCUACUUCUUUAUGGGUCAUAGAAGACAAUAAUAAAAGAAAAAGUAAAUUGAUGCAAUAAUAUAUGCUUCCAUACUAUUUUAAUGUUGUUUUAAUGUUGAUGUUGAAAGAAGUUGUUUUAAUGUUGAAAAACCCUUUAAUACAGUUUAGAAUUAGAUUUGAGAGCAUAUUUUCUAAUAGCAUAAUGUUCCCAGUUUUUCAAAGGGUUGUGAGUCAAGGCAGUAAGAGAGAACACCUCGUUGACUCAAUAACUUGGUUAUCAAAUGCAGGGUGUGGGUCAAGGUGUUAAGUACUGCUUCAAAUGGCUAAAUUCUAUAUUUUAAAAAAAUAUGACCAAAUCGAUUUGCAAAUGGCCAAAUCUCAAAUGGUCAAACCUCAUUUACUCAAUAACCUUUUGAGUUGCGUUUUAACAUGAAAAAAUAAUAAUUAUAUAAGAUAGCAACAUUAAAAUGUAGAAUUAAGAUGCAUAUUUAAAAAAAAAUAGGUUAACUUUUUAUCCAUUUCAGCACGUGGAAACAUGAGAGAUGAGUAAAACACUUUUUAGUUUCUACCUCUUUUCUUCAUAGAGGCUGAUAAAUAGAUUUCAGGAGUAUGAAGUUGCAACAAAUGAUAGAUAACUUGAAAUAAAUAAAAAAAUAAAUUAGAAUAAAAUGUCACAACCAAACAAGAAGUUGAGAACAUAGACAGCAGAUACACCAACAAUUAGUUAUCAAAUUUUUCAUCAAAACGAAAAAAUCGACAAUAAUCCCAUAAACCAACAAUACAUGAACAAAAAAAUAAGAUUGAGGAGCAAAAAAAAUGAUGCACAGUUAUAGGAAUGAGGUGCAAUGAGACCUUGAAUCGAUGGGAAUUAAGGAGCAAAACAAAAUCAUUAUACAAACAAAAAAAUUAAUAAAUAAAUAGUUAGAGAAAAAGAAUGGAGCACUAUUGAUCAAUCAUGAAAAAGAAAAGCAAAGUUAGCCAUUGAUAGAUUAUUCCCCUAAAUGAUCAUGACCAUGAAUCAAUAAAUAGCCUUCAUAACUAGAAAAUAAUCACCUCGGCAAUAAAGAUAUUCAGGAUAUGCACCUUUUUCCACAAAAGGUUUGCCUUUUGUAGACAUUACAACUUAAAAAUGUAAAAUUAAGAUGAAAAAUUUAUAUAAGAUUGCAAUUUUAACAUGAAAAAUAUUCUUUUAUAAAAAAAAAUAUAACAUUAAAAACAAUCCAACAAACUCACCAAAAAUAUAUAACAUUAAAAAGAAAGAAAUGUUUUUUUCUCAUAUUCAUCACAAAAAAACAUAUUUUUGUAAAAAUAUAAAGAGCACAACAUGAAAAACAAUCUAUCAAGCUCACCAAAAAUAUAUAAAAUUAAAAUGAAAGAAUUUUUUUUUCUCAUAAUCAUCACAAAAAAAACAAAGUUUUAUAAAAAAAAAUCUAACAUUAAAAACAAUCCAAGAAGCUCAUAAAAAAUAUAUAACAUUAAAAAGAAAGAAAUAAUUUUUUCUCGCAUCUAUCACACAAAAAAAAUAUUUUUGUAAAAAAAAAAAUAACAUUAAAAAUAAUCCAACAGGCUCAUCAAAUAUAUAUAAAAUUAAAAGAAAGAAUAAUUUUUUUUUUCAAUUAUUCAACACAAAUAACAUAUUUUUUAUAAAAACAAAAUGUAAUUUUAUUUAAAAAAACAAUUUUUUUUUAAGAACCCUAAAAUCGAGCCAAAGAACACAUAAACUUUAGAGUCAAAAUCAACCCCAAAUCUUUCAUUGUUUGAACAAAUUGACAUGGGGAUAUGAUAAAUACUUCAAUUAAGAUUCAAAUGCCCCAUAUUUCAUGAAAAUCCAUUCACUAUUGAAAUUGUUCUUCAAAAAAUGAUGGAUAUUUCACUUCACGAAAUUUUCAAAACAAAAACGCAGCAAAAAAAAUUCAUAUAAAUAAAUUUACUCAAUGAUAAAUCAAAAUACCUAAUUUAUUAUGUUGAUGAAGCCUUUAUGAUCAAACUUCACUGAUAACUUCGAAAACAAACGAUCAAUGCAUGGAUCAAAAAUCAAUUUUUUUUCAUCGAAUACAGUUCUUCACUGCUACUCACUUUUGGCCGAAAUCAACCUCAAAUAUUCAUCUUUUUCGACAAAUCGAAACAGGGAAUAGUUUAAGCCUUCAAUAAUGCAUCAAAGCCCUCCAUUUUCAUGCAUAUUCAUGGGGUAUUGAAGCUCAGAUUGAUAAAAUGGCGGAAAUUUCACAAUUUCAUAAAUCCGCCAUUUUCAAUCCACAGAAAAUCGUUCUUCUGCGAUUUUGAUUCAAUAAACAGUUAUUUAUAGAAAAUUUCAGGUGUAUAAGUGCAAUAAUUGAUCGACACAAACAAAAAAAAGUAAGAAAUUGGAAUAAAAAAAAGCUACAAAAUUCGAGUCACAGUUUCUGUUACAAAUAAUGCCCGUUGUGUCAAAUGACGGCCGUUAUUUCAUAUUAUACCAUUUUGUACGUUAUUUCAGGUGUUAUAUCGUUAAACCUGACCCGUUUGAAUAAACUGGUUGGUUUUGAAUGAAAACGGCCGAUUCGACCAUAAGCCGGCCGGUUUUGGUGCCGAAAUAUUUUGGAGAGACCGAGGUAUCUAUUAGUACCACAAAACCGACUUUAACCAGAGUCGGUACCUUGCCGGUACCAAUCUAACCGUCGGGUUCCGGUUCGAACCGGCAGGUUUUGUGAUGACAACAGUGGUCCAAAUACAGUGAGGUACAUGACCCUGAAAUUAAAAAAAACAAAAAAAGAGAAAAAAAGAGGGUGACGCCCAUUACAUCAUUGAUUAGACAGUGAUGGGGAUUAUUUGCUUUUCUCUAUUUCAUAGUCAAAAAAAAAUUUGGACACAUUGGAGUCUACCCCACUUGAAAACCUUGCAUGUGCAUCAUGCCAUCUGAUGAUUAUUCUGAGCCAUGGAUAACUGCUCGUUCUGACGUUCUUUAAUUCUACUCUCUCUCUUCUCAUCACGUCGUUUCCGACGUUUGAUUCUCUUCGUCCUCGUAUUUCUGACCUUUUUUUUUUCCAAAUUUUCUCCAAUACAUAUUCUCAUAUUAUUUUGGUCAAUUUUAACUUCUUUUGUCCUUUUUGGUCGGGUUCUUCACAUUUGAGCCGGUCGUUGUUUUUCUUUUUUUUUUGAAAAUUAACCGUGAAUUUUAAAGGGAGAUACAAGGAAAGUUACAGGAACGAUGAGAUCAUGAAGAUGAUCGGUGCACUCCGCUUUUUUAAAACAUCAGCCUCAAAAUUAUCCUCUAUAACAAUACGCAAUAUCAAAAGAAAAAAAAAUAUAUAUGAAUUUCAUCAAACAGACCCCUUGGUCUUUAUAGUUGGUCGAUGUUAUAUUAAUGGCAUUCAUUAUUACUGUAGAAGGAGAUGUACAUGCUAAGAAGAGCAAGCAACUAACUCACAUCCUGAUGAAUGAGAGGCUAAUCA
Molecule: long non-coding RNA, 48437 nt
Filed under: Amborella trichopoda
Lineage: Eukaryota; Viridiplantae; Streptophyta; Magnoliopsida; Amborellales; Amborellaceae
Description: long non-coding RNA (ATRI_LNC002946)
Source: RNAcentral